AAAUCAGUUUAAAAAUUUGAAUUUACCAAGUAAAAGCAGCAUACACUUCAACCUGCACAUCAUUGCUUUUACUAGAAGGGUUGUAAUUCUCCUUUGAAGCCAAUGCCAUUACAGGUUCCACCAUGGGGACACUGCUAACAGUUUUCAAUUGACAAGCAAGGGGAUCAAUGUUUUCAGCAUUCCUUUUUGCUGGUACUGGUGUUCUCGUGUGCUGAGAAAGCUCCCUGUUGUUUAUACAAAGAGUAAAUAUGUUCUGAAUUCUUAACCUUCUGGAGGACUCUGUGUCUUCAGGUUUCUGGGGGGAAGAUGCCAAUAACCCUGUAGUAAGAUUGAGACUGGGAAUAUUUCCAUCAGCUAACCCACUUGAACAGACCCUUUUCUCCUCUAUUAUAACCUUCUCUACUUCAUCUUCAGCACUUUCUUUAUGAUCGUCCUCCUUGUCUUAUAACACCAAACCUUCGUCCUGCUAACAAAUUGACCCUUGUUACAAAACACAAGAACGUACGAUAUCAAUAUCAUUAAAUUAAACAAUAAGCACCAUAAGUGCCAAAUUUUGUAGCUACGCUGUUACCGAUCAUGCAAAUCAAAAUGGAAAUUACCGAAGAAUGUAUUAAGAACAAGCUGAAUCCCUCACAAAACGUCCAUAUAUUCACCAUUUAACCAUGACCAACUUUUUCGUUUGAGGCAAAUGAAAAAAAGAGACAGAAAGUUAAAAAGGAUAAAAAUUGAAAGCCGAGGGCAGUAAUUUGGAAGACGACAGCAUUUUUUAUCUCUUUUUAACAAGUAGGCUGGUGGGCCUCUCGUUUGCAUUUUUCCCGGCCAUUGGAGAAUUGAAAUCCCCAUUAAAUAAUAAAAAAAGUAAAAAUAGAAAUACAAUUAAAAAAAAAAAAAAAACAAUCUCCAUGUAACAAACGAUGAUGUCACGAGCUCGCAACACUUGUUGUUAUAAUACCUAUGGUCUCAAACCAACAAAGUGUUGGUUCCACUGGCAAUGGAGUCCCCUUAAGUAGCUUGACUGGGUUUGCUCCCCAGUUCGAGUCGCAGGGAAGUCGCCUUUGUUGGGAGAACCUGUGCCUCCCGGUUCGAGCGGGGACUUCUAGUCUGGGUUGUGGUACGGGCUUAAAGGUGCCUCCCACAGUUGGGGCCCUCCCCAGGAUACCUCGUGAUUAAUAUCAAAAAAAUAAUACCUAUGGUCUCACAAGGCCAAUAUCCUUUUAUUAGUUUGUUUUUCUUCUUAUACAGUCAAUACAAACAUCAAAGUCUAUAAAAUUUAAGAGUUUAAAAUUUCGUCUAACACAAAUCUCUUUAUUUUUUUAGGAUAUGAUCUAAUCUCUUGUGUUAUAAUACAGCUGAAUUUACAUUAGCUAAUUUUCUCCUUAUACCUCAUAUACUUAACUGUUGGAAUUCAUUAAAUAAAGCAAUCAUAUUAUCCAAAUAAAAAGAAAAGUUAAAUUUGUCCAAAGCAGCAUUGGAAAUAAAAUUCCACCUAAAAGACACAUUUCAUCAAGAUUCAUAUAAAAUUCAGUUUUUAAUAAUAACAUAAGUUUUCUAUUGCUUCAACUUCAACCGUUUUGUAUGGAUCAUAAAUGUAUUGUCUAUCAUAAAUGUAUAUUUCACAAUCACUUGCCCUUCAGCAACUUAAGCAACAGACUGAUGUGAGUAGGGAUAGUCGCCACUACACCGCACUGGUCAACUCCCAGUUGAACUUGCAAGCUUGGGUUCGCGUCCCAGUCCCACAGGCAGUGGAAGUAAGUAAUUACCCUAAUCAGCUGAAGUAUCAAAACCUGUGUAUAAGCCUGCAGAUUACAAGUUAAUCAUCAGCAAAGGAGGGGGCUGAAGCAAGAAACAACAUAUCAUGUACUAAUUAUAAAACAUGUAAAAUUAAUGUAUUUUGCCAGUCACAAAACCCGUUUUCUUUAGAGAUAACCACCCCAUAGCAACUAUAAAUAAGGGCACAAAAAUGACCACAAAGUACAACAGUCCCCUCUUUUUUCUCCAAACAAAUACAACCAUUUCAGUUCACAUUGAACCAUUCAAGUUCCAAGUUUCAACCAAUGAAACAACCAUAGUAUUCUAAUAAAAAUGAAAAAUGAAAUAACCAUAGAAUAAAAUAAUUAUACGCUAAUUCAAAUAUUGCUUCAGAAUUUACGAUUUAUGCCAGACUCAGUUGCUCAAACAUAUGGAAUUGGAAUGUUGCAUUUAUUUAACCCAAAAGGUGAAUGCCAAGCUUAAGGUUCUUACAUACUGAAAUGAUCAAAUUUCAUUCAUUCUGAACAUGGGAUGCAACUAGAACUAUUUCAAGUUAUUCCAGAAGAGAGUACUAAAAGAAAUUUUUUCAUCCUACGUGGUAUAAGUAGUAUACUUCAGCUAGUAUUAUGCAUCAUCGGUUAAAUCAUUUGGAUUAUUAACACUGAUAUUUUUUUUAUUAGCUGAAUUGAUAACUGUUGCACCCCUAACUUAAGGGCACGUGUGAUAAGAAAAUUUUAUCUACAUCAGGUGCAAGUAUAAGCAUUUAACAAUUAAGCUGUGACUGUUUGCUUACAAGAACAAACAUAUACUAAUAGAGAUGAAUAAAAACCCAGCACUUCAAGAAAAAUUUGACAAUAUCUCCCCUAAAAUAUGGAUAUUAUCCAAUAUACCAAACCAGCAAUUUUAAUACCCUGCAGCUUAAAACUUCAAAAUAUCAGUCAAUACAACACUUGGGGUCUCCGGGACCCUAUCACUACAACACUAACAAAUACAAGUGCAUCCUCCUGAUGUUGCGUAGUCAUUCUAAAUACAUGUAUUAAAAAGUAUGAUAUCUGCAACAAGGUAGCUUACAAAGUUUACUAGGCCAGCAAUGCCGAAGUACAACCAGAACAAUAACAAAAAUAUACAAAGAUAUAUAUAUUUCUUUAAACCUUUUAAGUUUGAAAGUUUUGGUAUUCAACAGAAACAUCAUAAGACAAGAUCAUAACAACAUACACACUAACAAAUAUAGGGUUGCUCAUACUUUCUGAAGUUACGUGUAAAGAAUCCUAAAAUUACUCUUUCAAUAAUACAAAAUAAAAACAUGCCUGACAAGUCCCCCGGGGCCACCGCCCAUGAUUUCUUUUGCAGACUUUAGAAAUCUGAACAAUAUCAAUUCAGCAUAGCGUACUUUUGAGGCAUUAUUCCCAAGGACCCUCGCCCAUAAUUUCCUUUCCGAGCUUCACUGCAGGACAGUAGUCUGACCAUGACCAAUCAACCUUCUCAAACCUCAAUUUGAAUGAAAGGAAUAAAAAUUAUUAACUCAUUCAAUAGCAUCAAUGUAAGUUUCCUUACAAUAACACACCACAUCCAUGAUAUUUCUCAAUAACAAUAGCCAUAGAUAACAGAAUCUCAGCACAUCCCCAGUUUAACACCACAUCCACAAACUUAAAUGCAAUCAAAGCACCAUAUCAUUGCAGGAUACAUUAACACAAUUCAGCACCACUACAUAUUCCAAACUUGGCUCAUAUCGCCGUAAAGUUCAAUUCUCAUUCAUGACUGCAUCAACCCAAAUUAACUGAUUCAAGUAAUUUCAAUACAUGGUCUUCAAUUAAAACUCGCAAUCCUGUGAUAAUUCUAGCAUGUCAAUUUUUUAUUUUAGCCAUGUAGCCAUGUAAUUAAAUGGCUAACCACACACCCACUGCAUUAAUUCUUAAAGGAAGCAAUUAAGCCAUUAACACAUUAAAUCUAUGGAAAACAACUUAUAAGGACCCAAAAUAAAAAUUCAGAUUAUCAAGCAAGAAAAACAACCUGAUUUUUCAGUUUUGAGUAACAAAAUCACUCAAUUGCAUAUAACCACAUACCUUAAAUCCUGCACCAACAGCUCCUAGCUCUCCAAACACUUCUCUAACUCCACUUCCUACUGGUAAUACUGCAACAAAAAUUAACCAACUAUUCUGCCAAUAAUUUAAGGAUCCCAAAUUCAACACAAUCCUAAACUUGCUGAAAGUUACAGCAAGGAAACAAUUAAGAAAAUUAAGUGAAAAAACAUUCCAUCGAUAAAAGUAAGAAGAUUUCAAAAUUGAACCAUGCAUGCACACAAACUUACCCAAACCAGGUCUAAAGGCCAACAAUGAAAAUUUCACAUUAAAGCAACCAGAAUACCCGAAAAAUAGCUUAAAUUAAAAGUUUUUGACUCGUUCAGAAAGACACCAACAAUUUCCAAAACCUUUUGUUGGACCCCACGUUUAUAAAUUCUCAAAACAACUUCUUCCACCAAUCUGACAACAUCACAGAAAACUGGCAACACCACAUUUAAUUGUCUUUUAAGUUAUAAAAAAGCUUCAAGCUUUGCAGAUGCCAGGAUAUAAUGAGAAACCAAUCAUAGAACAUGUGAUGAGCAAGGGCACAAGCAGAGGAAAGAUCUUCAAUGCCUUAGUGUUCUGGACCUCCAGCAACAUUCAUUUUUAUGCAAUAUUCUUUUUCAAAUUUUUCUAUAUCGCUAAGAUUUAUAUCACUAAAUUUUUCUAUUAAUUCUUCUAAUAUAUUUUUCAUUAUUCUGUAUCACUUGGUACAGGUUCCUUUAUUUCUAAUUUUUCUUUUCCUUUUUCCUUUGUUUUUAAUUCUGCUUUUAAUCUUUCUGAUUCCUCUAAUAUUUUUGGGUAUUGAGUUUUUAUAAACCAAUCAUCAUAACUUCCUGGCUGAGGUUUUGUUAUUUGUUUUUCAAAACUUGUUCCUAUUAUUCCUGAUUUUAUUAUUUCAAGUUUUUCCACCUUUUUAUCUUUUUUCCGAUUUAUCUGUAUUGUAGAUAAUUCUAUUUUUAUUUUUCCUAUUUCUUGUUUAAUUUCUCUCAUCUCUUCUUUAAGAUUUAAAAGUAUUUCUUUUAAUUCAAAUAACGUAGUUUCCAUGAAAGUUAGGGGUAUUGAUGGAUAUUAUUUCUUUUGAGUGUAUGUUACAUUUAAAGUAACAUAGUGCUAGCCUUUUUUUUAUUUUAAAUUUAUAAAUGUAAAAUAUUAAUUUAUAAAGCUGAAUCAGUGUGUACGUAUAGAAAACAGUCAACCUGACCUGACUGCCGAUGAGUUAAAUGGGUCUGCAUUUGGCUGUUAAAUAAUUUGUUCGUUGCUCCUGCAACAGGCCAAUUCUCUAUAUUCAUAUAAAAUUUGAAUGGCUAUUACUGAGUGAGUGUAUAGGGUACUGGAUAAAAAUGAAAAACAGAAUAAAUUUGACACAACAUUUUAUUUAAUAUACCCUUCUCCAUAUCAUAACUAAUUCAACAGCCACUACUUUCUUGGAAAAUCAUAAGUAUUAAAGAAAAAGACAAAAGUAAACAAAUAUAGAAAUAUGGAAAGAAAGCUUUCAAGUCUUUUCAUCAAUAAAGCCGAAAAUAGCAUCUAACCAAAAGCUGAUAUUCACAGACACUGACCAUAUUAAACCAACCAUUUCCAAAACGGAAGAAAAAGAUUUAGAUUCCACCUUAUAAAUAUAGUUAAUGUAAUUAAAAUUAUUAAUUCAAAAUGCUAAUCUGACCAUCACCGACCAACAUUCUCAAACCUCAACUCAAAUUAUUAACUCAUUCAAAUAGCAUCAUAUGUAAGUUGCCUUACAAUAACACAUCACACCCAUGAUGCUUGUCAAUAACAAUAGCUAUAAAUAACAUAAUCUCAGCACAUCCCCAGUUUAACGACCCGUCAACAAACUUAAACUGCACCAUAUCAUUGCAGGAUACUUAAACACAACUCAGCUAAACUACCCAUUCAAAACUUGGCUCAUAUCACUGUUAAAGUUUUAACUCUCGUUCAUGAUUGCAUCAACCCAAAUUAACUAUCAUAACUGAUUCAAGUAAUUUCAAUACAUGGUCUUCAAUUAAAAAUUGCAAUCCUGUUGAUAAUUCUAGCAUGUCAAUUUUUUAUUUUAGCCAUAUAGUCAUGUAAUCAAAUGGCUAACCACACACCCACUUCGUUAAUUAUUAAAGGAAGCAAUUAAGCCAUUAACACAUUAAAUCUAAGCAAAAUAACUUAUGAGGACCCCCCUCCCCCCCCCCCCCCCCCCCCCCCCCCCCCGGCGGAAGCAAAAAAAAAAUUAUCAAGCAGGAAAAACAACCUGAUUUUUCAGUUUUGAGUAACAAAAUCACUCGAUUGCACAUAAUAGCAUUUCUUUUUUCUACUUGCUGCUGUUCUCAGCUCCCUUAGGUGCACAACUACUCUCUCUAAAACCCAAUUGCUCUCUUUCCCUCCAUUUCCUUUUCUUCCUCUUCUCUCUUUUUUAAUUUUUUAUUUUCUUCUGUUACAUGAGUUCCUUUCUCAUCAAUUAGUGUGGAGAAAAACGAAAACAGGAUAAAUUUCGACGCAAAAUUUUAUUAGUAUGCGUAUGUAAGUACAUUAUCGAAUACGCCUUAAACAACUGCCUUUUUUUCCUGCAAUAAUCACACUAUAUAUAACAAAUAAUACAACAAAAUAAUAGAAGUUUAAGUAGAACGGCAGUAUCUAGGUUGUCUCUGUACUCGGCUUCCAGUUCCACCCAAAAAACUGCUCAAACAUCUUCGUUCAGGUAACCAACCACAGACUCUGUUAUUGCCAUAACUAAUUUAUCACAUGACCAUAAUUUCCAGAACACCUUGCGCUUGUUCAAUGGGUUGUUCAACUUGAGGGCGAGCUAGCAGAUGCGCGUUGACAGAGGCGACAGUGAGACGUCGAAGCCAGUUGAAGCAGCGCUCAAACAGAGAAGCUAGCGUUGCAUAACAGAGUGAUAAGAUUAUGAGGCAUAAAUAGAGUACCAAGAACAGAGACGGAGCCAAAAUGACAGAGGCCACUGCUGAGACAGCCAACAGAACAGAGAGUUCUCCACAACUCACGCAAAUGGGUCGGCUCACAUUGAGAGGGACUCUGAUGGGUGUGAGGAGGAAGAGCAGUAAUGGGAUGACGACGGCAGGAAUCAGGAACCAGAACUGAAGCUUUAAAAUUGGAUACAAAAGUAUCUUACUCGUACCAUCUUGGACGUCCCAAGAGUUGCCAUCCUGAGACUUGAGGAACAGAAAAAAGAUUAUAAGAUUCAGCAAUGGAAGAAAUAGAAACCUCAAAUCGAUUGAAAUAUUCAUGCUUAUGAGUAUAAGACUUGGCAGAGAUGAUUGAGUUUAAUUUUUAUGAAUAAGAUUUGGCAAUGGCAGAGUUAAACACAGGCUGCCUUUUGCUUCCUCUCUCUCUUCUCUCCGCUUUUUUUCUCCUCUCUCUCUCUUCUCUCAACACAUGCUUUCUUAGCAUUUAGCAUUUUUGUUUCUAAAAUACGGUGAGUCUGGGGGCAUUUUUAUAGAGGUUUUGGGAUGAAAUCUUUUUGCAGCCAAUGCCAAAAAAAUUAGAGGUUUGGACAAAGUGAAAAAAAAGAAAGAAGUGCAAAGCCAAAUGGAGCCAUGCAUGUGAGAGUGGGACGACCCAAGACAUUUUUUCGAUCCUUUGAGUUAGUGGGAGAAAGAGAUUAGCCUCCUCCGCAUUAAGAUUUGAAGAUUCCGUUGGUUUGACUGAUUCAGCACAUAACAUGCUUAAAUUGCAAAAGCUGUCAAUUCACAUUAACAAGGAAAAUUAACUCAAUAAAGUGAAGUAGGCACGAAUUAGAGUGAUUUUUAAAAUGCGGUGAGUCGGGGGCUUUUUAUCGUGGUUGAGGUCCAUGAGGAUGAAACGUUAUUGGUUCGAUACACGUCUUCAAUAAUAUUUGCGGAACCAAUUAGGAAGAUAAUGGAGUCGGGGAUUUUGGGGCUGAAUUUUUCCCUUUUUUUCUUAAUUUUGUUUUUACUGUGUGUCACGUGCAAAACACGUGAGACUAUUAAAAUUUCAAAACAGUUGUUUCAGUCUUCUAGGGUUUUAAAAACCUCAGUACGUUUUUUUUUUCCUUUUUUCUGUACAGGUAUUUUUAAACUUACCUUUUCAAAGUUUAUAUAUAUUUUGCACACUGCGCACAAAAUAUAUAUGAACGAAUGAUACAUGUUCCAAUAAAUAGAUGCACCUAACAAAUUAGAACUAUUCAUGAGAUGCAAAUUAAGUUAGUGUUAGAGAGAAAUAUACUGAGACUAAACUACAAUUAUGUGUAAUUAAUUAAGCUACCUUUGUUUUCAUGUUAGCGUGACCAAAAUGAGAUUAUGCACAACAAGUAUAACUAUAUGAAACAAAGUGAUAUAAUAAUAAAUGCCAACCAUAUUAUAUGUACAAGUUUUCUGUGCCAAUAUCACUAGUGGCAUGACCAAAAACACCGACAUACACAAUAAUCUCUCAAAGGAAAGAUUGUCAAAUUUCUUCAUUAAAUUCAGAUUAAAGUAAAUUAUAAAUUUUUUAACUUAAUAAAACCCACUUAAUACACACAUAUAAAUAUUAUAUGCUUACAGUACAAUCAUUUUUUGGACUUUCUCUUAUGGGCUAUUUUUUUUUUUUUGGGAUAAAUUUAUGGGCUAUUCAUUAGUUGCUUGGGUUCCUCUAUGAUGUUAUAUUUUUUUUUGCAAUAUCAAUAAUGUAAGAAAUAUGUACCAUUAUUUUUAUUAAUAAAAAUUUAUAUAAUUUCCAAAAAAUUAAAGGUUUGGACAAAAUAAAAAGCGAUUAGAAAAGAAAAUAGAAAAAAAUACAAAGCCAAUGGGACCAAACCUCCAAAGAUAUGUUUUUCCAUUCUCAUCCAACACCUUCCCAUUUGUUUAUUAUUUUUUUAUUAAUUUAUUAACUUUUUUAAUGGGGAGGAGGCUGAUGCCUCCCACUAACUCUUUCUCGAGGAAGCUAAGCUAGCUGCAUAAGUAUCCGCUAAGUUAAUAAAUUAAUAAAAAUAAUAAUAAACAAUUGAGAUGAUCAAAAGUUCAAAAUUUCUUACCAUCGCACAUGCAAGAUGAUCAAUAUUUCCAUCGCUCAGUAUAUGUAUACGUAGGUAGCAUUCACAUUUUAAAUUAGUGUGAGAAUCUUAGAUUAUCUCCAAAAGACUCUUUAAAUAAAAUUAUACUUCUUAUUUGAAGAGUCAUAUCAAUAUUAAAUACUUCAAAAGACACGUUAAUUUAAAUUCUUCAAAUAAGAUUUGUUUCUUUCUCUUCAAUAUUGACGAGUGAAUUUCUCUCUCUUCUAUUAAUAUUUUUUUAUUAUUUAUUGAAAAGAUAAGACUGUAAUAAUUAUUAUUUAUGUUUCCUUUCAAAAACAUAACAGCAAUUCAAUUUAAUAGUAGAAAGAUUUAAUUAAAAUAAUAUUAACUUAUUCUUAUUUGAUGAGUCUUUUGGAAGAAAUUGUAUUUUUCAAUCCACUUAUUUGCCACAUCAGUAAGCAAAUUGAUAUUUGAAAAGUAAAAUCUAAAAAGUCUUUUGGAGAUGCUUUUAGAUUUCAGAGUGUAGAGAGGGGUGGGAGUGAAUUGUUUAUUUUCACUCUGAAAUGAGAGUAUGAAAUCGAAAUUAGAAUUCAAUUUUUGUGUUUUCCUUAUCUUAAAUUGGGAGUAAAUAGUUUCAAAUUACAGUUUUACUUUUAUUUAAAAAAUUAUAAUUUUUAAAUACAAAAUUAUAAAAAAAUAUAUUUGAAAUAUAAAAUAUUUAUUUUUAUUUUAUUUAUUUGUAAAUUUACCUAUGUUUAGAAAAAAAAAAAAAACUAUUAACUGCCCUCAGCAUAUAACAUACAACAAGCUGUCAAUUCACAAAAACAAGGAAAAUUAACUCAAUCAAGUGAAGUAGGCCACAAAAAGACCUCUAAAAUCGAAUCAGAUUUAGUUAAAACAAAUAAUCACCCAUCAAUCAUAAGCAAAAGCCAAAAAGAAAUGAAUAACAGAAAGAAAUUUCUUAUAAAAAUUCAAUACAAAUAAAAAACAAAUUAGCUAGUCUUCUUUUUUGGUAUAGUGAUUUCGUCAGCAAAUAAGACAAAAAUUGAAAUUCCGAAAUAUACCUAGGAUUUCUAGCUUUGGAAAUUUACCUUACAAGAAACCGGGCUCUCUGCUUCUGGCUUUGUCUUUGUAACGUUACUAUUGUGGACGAGCCACUCCGAUCAGCUGAGAUGAUCGCAUUUUGCACCGGCAACGAUGCAAAUGUUUGGGUUUGGAUUUGACGAUAGACGGAGGAAUGCUUAGGGUUUUGUGUGAAUUUUUGGAAUUUUUUAUCGAAGUGAAAAUAUCAAAAUAACCUUUACACAUUUAAUAUUCAGGGUACUUAUACAGUUAAAUUUUUCUUUAGAAUUAAAACAGAAUAUAAACUGAGACUCAGAAUUUUAUUAAUAUACCGUUGUUCGUUUGGACCAUAAUACAAAAACCAAAAUAAAUAAAUAAAUAAGAAUAUAGAGUGUGUCUGCUACUGCUAAAAAUGCUUUUCAAACAAAAGCCGAAAACAGCAACUAAGCUUUUACAGACUAUAUAUAUAUAGAUCAUUGUAAUAACUAACUAGAAAAUGGAAAGUUAGCAUAUAUUCAUAAAACACUCUUAGUUCUACCCUAUGUUAUUUUAUUAGGCAGGGUUUAUUUACGAAAUAAUAUAAUUUUAAACAUUUUAUUGGGUGUAUUUUAUAGCUAAGAUGGGAUGGAAAUAUUACUAAAACACUCGUGGCACUGGCACCAGCAAAAUCAUACACUUUAAUAGGUACUAGGGCCUAACAGUGGCACCAGCUAUUUCAUACAUACAUACGUAUAUAUUCUCAUCUUCAUCAGUUGGACUUGGCUGCAGGUUUUGGAUGUGGUUCCCUUCUACUCCAAUAAUGUUCUCUUCAUCAACUUGAUUCCCGUUCGCACAUGCAGUUGAUCACGAUCAAGAUUGUGCGAGUAAUGGGUGUUAUUACUGUGAGAUUUCGGAGCCAAUGGAAAAUGUUAUUACAGUAUGAUCAAUAUGAAUUGACCAAGAUUCUUUUGCGGGUUGGCGAGAUGCUUUUGGCAAGCCCCACCCAGUCUUUGCCCACUCAUUUUUGUUUAAAUUAAAUUAAGUAAUUAUUUAAUCAACCUAUUGAGUACAAAGGGCAAUUUGACUUGAUUCUCCUUUUGUUGUGGCUAAGACGUAUUGCACAAGCUUCUUCUUCUUCUUCUUCUUUUUCAAGUUGUAUUGCGAGCUCUUAAUAUAAUCACAAACUUUUUUUACAAAUUUAUUAAUUUAUUUUCUUCCUUUUUUUUUUCUUUUCUUUUCUUUCUCUCUCUCUCUCUCUCUCCCGGGACUGGGGAGCUUGGGUUUUAUUUAGUUUUAUAGCCUAUAGAUAUAAUAUUGAGUAGUGAUAGGUUUUGACCUUGAGUGCUAAUCAGUGGGGAUCAAUAUUAAUUAAUCAAGAAUCUUUACAAAAAGCAUCGACUCCCAUUGGUUCCUCGGGUUGGGGAAGUGCUUUUGACAAGCCUCGCCGAGUCUCCGCGACUCCGCCCACUAAUUUUUGUUUAAAUGAAAUUAAGUAAUUAUUUAAUUAACCUAUUGAGUACAAAAGACAACUGGAUUCUCCUAUGUUGUGACUAGGUUGUGUUGCACGAGCUUAGCUUAACUUUAAUGACUCUAAUUUAUAAACAGAUGCUAGUAACAAUAAUAUAUUACUUUCCAAUUCGAAGUGGAGCCUUCGAAGGCAACAGCUUUUUCAAUUUUAUAAUUAUAUACUCUCAAAAUAAUUUUGAUAAAAAAACAGGUUGCUUUUAUAUACUGUUGAUGACAAGCGUUGUGCCGUCUUCUUCGUUGAGAAGAAUUGGACCGUAUUGCAAUGCCUUCUGGUUUUCUCUUUCCAAGUUCAACUUCUUUGUCGACAAUAAUUCUUACAGAACAAAAACGAAAAAAAAAAAUCAAAUAUAGCGUUAGGGCUUCAAGGGAUUCUCCAUGGAGUGAUCUUUAAAUAAAAAACAAGCGCCACCCUCCGUUUGAUUUCUCCUGAAGAAAAGAUUUGAUCGAUUUUUUCUUUCUUUUUCACCUUUACUCUUUUUUAAAAAAAUUUCUUUCUUUGCUUAAAAAAUGUUUUGCCUACAGCUGGAACCGAACAUUUAAAAUUUAAAGAGUGCAUGUUAAGGUAUUAAUUUUUAUUACCUUGUAAUCUAGUGAUGGCAGACAUAUUAAUUCAUGAAAUCGAAGAAUCUUGUGGAAUAUUGACUUGUGGAUUUGAUCCUGAUCCGGUGGCUUAUUGGGAAAUAUCUGAAGUUGUUUGGUCCACUAAUCUUAGCUUUAGGAUAAGUAGUGAAAAUUUCUUCUUCGGUCAUGAAUUAAGAUCCAAUCAUAUAGCAUAUUCGAUCUGACUGUACCAUAAGCAUAUGUGUGUGUGUAUUAAUGACUGGAGUUCAGUUAAUGACUGCAAACUCAGCAACCGAUUCCAAGAAUGAGCUUUGAAAGAAUCCCAAUUUGUCAAAAUGUGACUGUUGAGAAGUUUCUUUUGAGUAGAUUAACCGAGAAGACCGUAGGCAAUUACCUGUAUACAUCUAUUUAUUGAAACUUUAAUUACCUGAGGAUUAACGGAAAAAUGAAUAUACAUUGCAUUUAUAAAUAAUCGUUUUCCCUCUGAUAACUUGAAAAAUACAAUAAUUUAAUCCAUUGUCUAUUUGUAAUAAAUAAUCUAUUUUCUAAAUACGUACGGCGUUGUGGAAAGUUGAACCGUAUUAUUUUAUGCAAUUAACCCAAUACAUCAAAAUACAUAUAUAAAACAUGUGGACACUAUUUUAAGAGAUUGAUUGAGAAAUUUGGUAUAAUUUUAGGCAAUUAAAUAAAUAUUUUUGAAAUUUACAUGUGUUUUGGGAGAUAAUUGUUGUGUAAAUCAGUGCUCGCGCAUGUAUAAAAUUAAUCUCCAUUACCUGGGAAGUUUCUUGGGGUGACACAAGUGGAUAUACACUAUUCGUGAUGUGCAAGACAACAUGAUGAACAGUGAACUCGAAACUCAAAGUGAUACAAGUCGUUUAGAGGUUACAAGCUCAGAUGACAUGUCGCUUGAGGAGUUCUUCAGAGCAAAACCGACAUAAACUCAUUCAUCACUCAAAACUUAAGUAAUACAUGUGGUUUGCACGUGUGUUAAAGCUGAAUCUCAUUUAGAUCAAGAACGACGUCUGUGAUUGCCGUUUUAAGCUCACUUAUGUUAGCUUGUGAUAUGCAUGUGAGAGAGGAGCAUCUUGGUUGGAUUUGGCAGGAAGGGUGGUUAGCCUAACAACCCAAAAACAGAGGUUAAAAGGUGCAAGCUCUGCAAUCAUCUCCAUUAUUGGGAAACACUGAGAGUAGAGAGAAGAUAGAGAGAGAAAUGGGUUAAUUAGUUAUUGUUCUCUGUAAACCAUCUUUUGUUCUUGUAUUGUUUCGAUCUCAUUAAAGUGAAAGUUAUUGCUUUGUUUCCAGUGGAUGUAGGCACCACUUCUUGGUGCUGAACCACUUAUAUUUGGUGUCAUUUUGUUUCUUUUAAAGCUUUGAUUCUUGUGUGUGAUUCUUGUUGUGUGAUAUGUGUUGAUUGGUCUUGGAUCCUUGAUACAAAAUUACUUCUUGGGGUGAAUUUGGUUAGCCUUAUAAGGUUAAAUUCUCAACACAGCAUUAUCAGGAAAACAUGAGAAAUUUUAGAAUACCUCAGAUGUACUACAACCAAUUGAUGCAUGCAUGACAUGUGUAAUUGAUUUUAAUACAAUCACUACUUGCAUGAUAGUGGUUCAAAAUAAAUGCACACAUGUCAUGACAUCAUUGCUUAUUGUAUGGAUGACAUGAUACCUCAUAUGUAUUUUAGAAUUUCUCGGAAAACAGAUAUGCCAAUUAGUAAUCUUGUGUGUGUAAGAUUUCAAGAUAGUUUCAUGUAGAAUUUAAUGGUUAUGUGUUUCUUCGGCUCCUUCCUCAAAUCCAGCACAAUGGCAUAGUCACAUGCAUGAAGAUUUUGGAGUCUUUGGCUGCACAAUUUUUCUGGACUUUAAUUUGAAUUAGUUAUUGGCUUUUUUAUAUUGCUCUUUAAUCGGCUUUUUCAGAUUAAAUAUUUCUGUAUUAGUUUUCGAUUAACAUAGUCCUGGCCUCCUGGGAAGUUAUGGUACUAAUCAGAUUCUUUUGUCAACAUUUGACAAUUUCUUUUUCAAAGCUUGAGUUUUGAGGGUUUAUAGCUUUGAGUUGUGGAAUCAAUGAAAGAAGAAAUUAAUGUAAGAAGAAUAAUUAAAUGGGUACUCUCUUAGCCCCUUUAUCUGGUUAUAUAAAGAUUUUUUAAUACAUUUUUGGUGUGGCUAGUUAUGCUUGAAGUUGUUCUACAGUGUCUCGCUUGAAAAGUCCGAUACAAAAAAUUAAAAAGAAUCAUCUUCAUCAAUUUAGUAGAAAGCGACAGUUUGACAACUUAUUAUUAUAUUCUCCAAAUGCAAAUAAAAUUUGCCGCCUAAAUAAAAGUGGCAGCAAACUGCUUUUUUUUUUUAAUAUUAAGAAAAGACCUUACCCCUUCAGCACAUUCAUCUUUUAAACCGUAAGUAAUCAUCCUAGAGGAUGCAUCGUGGGACCUUCGCUGAUCGCUGAGUGUAUUGACUCAAAAAAGAACUCUUAAAUUCAUUACAGGUUUCAUAAGAUCAAAGCUGAGGGUAGAUUAAUUGAACAUAUAAACUAAGCUUGCUGUGACUAUUAAAAAUAUGUUCAUGACAUUAUACUCACAGAAAUUUAUUAAGGCAGUCAUAAUUUUGCCAUUUAUGUAUAGAAUAUUGAAAAUUAUUGAAUUUCAUUUAAAAAAAGGGUUAAAUUAUAGAAUUUCAUUUCAAAAAAAGUCAAAUUAAACUUAUCAUAAAACAACCUUAACUAUCAAUCCAAGAUCUAAGUGACUAAAAAAAGAUUAUGAGAAUAAUUUAAAUGAUUAAUUAUCAAUUCUUUUUUAUAUGUAAAAUUGGUAUUGUACAAGUUAAUUAUAAUUAACUAACGGAAAUGUAGUAAAAUAUAGGGUUUAUUAGAGAUAUUUAACAAUUCCUAAAGUAUUAUGGUAUAAAAUGUUAUACCCUAAUAUUUCAUGCACCGAUUUAUUUUACAAUUUCUAAAAUAGUAAAAUGAAUAUAACGCAUAAAAUUAAUUAAAUUAUUAACAUAGCUUCUGUCCUUUAUAGUAAUUUCAUUAGAUGUUUCAUGAGAUCAAAGUUUUGAGGGUGAACUAGUCAAAGAAAAUGGUUGUGGAUGGUUAUAACAUUUGACCAAAAAUAAUAUUAUUAUUUGGUUGGAGCCAUAGUAGGGUAGGCCCAGUCCCAGUCCCUUGCGCCCGCUCCGGUAAUUGGCAAGACAGUCUGCCAUGCAAGCAAGCGAAGGAGGAAAAUGUGAGGUAUUUUUACAUCACUUGCCAAAUGUGUAAUAUUUGCUUACUUGGACUUCAAAGUCAGUAGUUUAAUGAAAUUGGAACAUUUUCGAGAUUUAGGAUUGUCUCCUAACCUUAUCUUCUUUUGAGUAAAUUUUAUUAAUAUGAUUGGUGGUUAAUAAAUUAAAAAAUAAAGGUAGUUAAUAGAUAUUAAGUAGGUUAUUGGGUAACAAUUAUUUUUCUGUAUUGGAUUUGAGUCUUAAUAUUUUGACACGAUUAGUAAAUGGGUUAAAUUUGGGUUAAACUAAAUUUGACACAACACGAACAUGAUCUAAUAACCCGUUUUGCUAGCUUUAGCCAUAAGAUGUGAAUUUUGCUAAGGAUAUUAUCUCAAACAGGAGGGAAAUAGUAACUAGGGUAACAAUAUAAACAUGAGGAAUUUUCUAUUUUUGAAGUAGUUCUUGGGUUGAAUUAGACCGUGGGUUUCUAAAGUCUAAAAAUCCCAAUAAAUUCAGCCCCACAUACAAAGGCUUACCAAAUUCAAAGAAUUUUUAUGAGUGAUUGUCGUGUAAAUGAGUGAUUGCAGACGUACAAAAUGAUCUCUAUUAACUGGGAAAUUUCUUGAAGUGACACAAGUGGAUAUAAUAUUAUAUUAUUCAUGAUGUGCAAGACAAAAUUAUCGAGAAAACAGAUGUGCCAGUUAAUAAUGAAGAACUAGCAGUUGAAGAUGACCAAAGAAUUUUUAUGUGUGUGAGAUUUCAAAGAUAAUUUCAUGCAGAAUUUAAUGGUUAUGUGUUUCUUUGGUUCCUUACCCAAAUCCAGCACAAUGGCAUAGUCACAUGCAUGAAGAUUUUGGAGUCUUUGGCUGCACAAUUUUUCUAGACUUUAAUUUGCAUUAAUUAUUGGCUUUUUUUUUUGUAUUGCUCUUUAAUCGGCUCUUUCAGACAAAAUAUUUAUGUAUUAGUUUUCGAUUAACAUAGUCCUGCCUUCUGGGAAGUUAUGAUACUAAUCAGAUUCUUUUAUAUAAUGUCAACAUUUGAUUCUCAUUUUGGCUCCAUCACUUUUCUUGGUGGCCUAUUUGCGGUUCACAAUCUUAACAUUCUGUUAUGCCGUGUUAGCUUCUCUGUUUAAGCUCUGCUUCAACUUGUUUCGACGUUUCGCUGUCAUGGUUUCGUUCACUAAUUAUUUUCAAUAAACCAAUUAAUUAAUAUAUAUAUAUAUACAUGUUGUCGUCGUUUCUAUGAAAGUUUAAGCAGCUAGCAGUUUCUGGAGUCAGUUCAGUCAAAGACUCGAAGCCUAGCAGCGAUCGAUUAAAGAUGCUGUGGUUGCUUUAGUAUUUUUCUAAUUUAAUUAGAAAUCUGCUGUAUAAUAAUUUCUAACCAGCAGCCAUGGAAAGUUGCAAACAACAAUAUAUCUAUAAAAGCUGUUACAGAUUUAAUGCCCCGGGUAUAUAAACGGUUAUUUUUCCUUUAGCAUAAAAAUUUAGACACAGAAUUUAAUCAAAUAUACCGUUGAUCAUUUGAACAGUAAUGCCAAAAAAAAGGAAAAAAAAAAAAGAAUCUAGCGUGCUUUUCAAACAAACGCCGAAGGUAGCAACGAAGCUUUCACAGCAAAACUGCUAAAACUUGGUCGGGUAACAACAGACUAAUGUUAUUUUAUUAGGCACUAGGACCCUACGGUGGCACCAGCAACAUCAUAUAUAUAUAUAUUCUCAUCGUCAUCAUCAGUUGGACUUGGCUGCAGGUUUUGGAUGUGGUUCCCUUCUGCUUCAAUAAUGUUCUCUUCAUCAACUUGAUUCCCGUUCGCGCAUGCAGUUGAUCGCGAUCAAGAUUGUGCGAUUAAUGGAUGUUGUUACUGUGAGAUUUCGGAGCCAAUGGAAAAUGUUAUUACAGUAUGAUCAAUAUGAAUUGAUCAAGAUUCUUCUGCGGGUUGGCGAGAUGCUUUUGGCAAGCCCCACCUAGUCUUUGCCCACUAAUUUUUGUUUAAAUGAAAUUAAGUAAUUAUUUAAUUAAUAUAUUGAGUACAAAGGGCAAUUUAAUUCUCCUUUGUUGUGGCUAAGAUGUAUUGCACGAGCUUAUCUUAACUUUAAUGACUGUAAUUUAUAAAAUUAAUUAUAACCUAAGCAAACGUGGACAAGGGAUUUGUGGUUAUGUAUAUUUCAGUUUUUUUUUUAAAUCAAAGAAAAUCUCAAAUAAUUUAUAAGGAUUUUAUCUUUGAAGAAUGAUAAACUCUUAUCUAUAUAAAAAAAGAGAUUUUAUGGUGAAUUAAAAAGUUUGUUAAUGCUAAAACAAAAAGAGGGUUUAAAAUUAGAGAAUAAUGAGUUUAUAAUUAUGUUCGUAUUUUGAGAAUACUAAAUAAAACGUGAAAAUCAUUUAUAGUUAUUCCUGAAUUUAUAGAAAUACAAAUAAAAUAUUAAUUGUGGAAUUAAAAAUGAGUUCAUUUAUAACUGAUAUGGGGUUUAUAUAAUUUCAAGUGCGAUAAUAUAAUCACAGACUCCCAAACUUAUUAAUUUAUUUUCUUCCUUUUUUUAUUCUUUCUUUCUCUCUGCCGGCACUCGGGAGCUUUGGUUUUAAUUAGUUUUAUAGCCUAUAGAUAUAAUAUUGUGUAGUGACAUGUUUUGACCUUGAGUGCUAAUCAGUGGGGAUCAGUAUUUAAUUAAUCAAGAAUCUUUACAAAAAGCAUCGACUCCCAUUGGUUCCUCGGGUUGGGGAAGUGCUUUUGUCAAGCCCCACCGAGUCUCCGCGACUCCGCCCACUAAUUUUUGUUUAAAUGAAAUUAAGUAAUUAUUUAAUUAACCUAUUGAGUACAAAGGACAACUGGAUUCCCCUAUGUUGUCGCUAGGUUGUGUUGCACGAGCUUAGCUUAACUUUAAUGACUCUAAUUUAUAAACAGAUGCGAGUAACAAUAAUAUAUUACUUUCCAAUUUGAAGUGGAGUCUUCGAAGGCAACUGCUUUCUCAAUUUUAUAACUAUGUACUCUCAAAAUAAUUUUGAUACAAAAACAGGUUGCUUUUAUGUACUGUUGAUGACAAGCCUCGUGCCGUCUUCUUCGUUGAGAAGAAUUGGAACGUAUUGCAAUGUCUCUGGUUUUCUCUAUCUGAGUUCAAUUGAAGUUUAACCAAGCUAUUUAUGCUUGUUUGGUUGCAGAGAAAAUGAAGGAAAAUUCAAUGAGCAAUAAGAAACUAUGAGAAAAAAUAGAUCGAAUUUUAUUCAAUGAAUUAUGAAUACAGAGGUUGAUCUUAUAUACUAAGAUCCAGAACCUUUUGCAUUGCUCACACACGUGUUGAGAGUGAGCUGUGAUUAACAAACUUCUCAGCUCUAUAACAAACUUACAAACUAACAAAUAACAACCUUGCUUACUCAGCUGCCACAUCAGCAGAAUCAUUACAAAAAUAUUCUUUAUAUUAUAACUCUAACAUCCCCCCUCAAGCUUGAUGUCGUGAAAGGACAUUAAGCUUGCUGCGCAAAUAAGCAAACUGAUCAAAACAGAGGGGCUUAGUAAGAACAUCUGCUAAUUGAUCUGAACUGGGAACAUAAGUAACUGAAAGCUGUUGUUGAGCAAUAUGCUCUCUGAGAAAAUGGAGGUCAAGCUCAAUAUGUUUAGUACGAGCAUGAUAUUUAGGAUUACUGGCCAAAGCUUCAGCACUCUUGUUAUCACAAUGCAGAAGAGGAAUCUAAUCAAAAGAUAUGUUAAGCUCUUGAAAUAAGUAUGUAAUCCAGAGAACUUCAGAGGUAGCCAUAGCAAGAGCUCUAUACUCUGACUCAGCUGAUGAUCUGGACACAAUAGGCUGCUUCUUAGAGGACCAAGAGAUGAGAUUGGAACCUAAAAACACACAAUAACCUCCAACAGAUCUGCGAUCAUCAGGAUCUGCUCCCCAAUCAGCAUCAGAGUAGGCAGUUAACUUUAAAGAACCAGAACUGAAAAACUGAAGACCAUAAUCAGCUGUACUUUGAAGAUACCGUAACACCCUCUUGCAAGCUUGCCAAUGAAGAAUGGUGGGAGCUGAUAAAAAUUGACUAAGCUUGUUGACUGUGAAAGCUAAGUCUGGUCGAGUUAACAGAACAUAUUGAAGAGAUCCCACAAUGCUUCUGUAUAAAGAUGGAUUUUCAAAUGCAGCACCUGUAUCCUUGUGCAGCUUCUCAGAAGUACUCAUAGGUAUAACACAACCUUUACUGUCCAGUAUAUUUGCCCUUUUAAGAAUAUCACCAAUGCACUUAGUUUGAGAUAGAUGAAUACCGUGAACAGAUGGAGUAACUUCAAUACCAAGAAAGUAAUGAAAAUCCCCCAGCUCCUUCAAGGCAAACUCAGAAUGUAAUUGCUGAAUAACAUUUCCUAUGAGCUUUGAAUCUGAACCCGUGACUAAAAUAUCAUCCACAUAAAUGAGAAUGAGCAAGAUAUAUGUCCCUGCAUGCUUAAUGAACAGAGAAGUGUCAGAUUUGGAGACUCGAAAACCCCAUUGAACUAGUGACUCCUUUAAUCGAUCAUACCAGGCUCUUGGAGCCUGUUUGAGACCAUAUAAGGCCUUGUUAAGCUUACAAACAAAAGAAGGGUAAGUGGAAUCAACAAACCCUUGUGGUUGAUGCAUGUACACAUCUUCAGUAAGAAUGCCAUUGAGGAAAGCAUUGUUUACAUCCAGCUGCUUAAUAGGCCAGUGAUGCAUGACUGCUAAGCUUAAAAUGAUUCUGACAGUACAAGGCUUGAUCACAGGGCUAAAUGUCUCAAAGAAAUCAACCCCAUAAGUUUGAUGAUAUCCCUUGGCAACCAACCGAGCUUUAUACCGAGAGAUGCUGCCAUCAGCAUUAUACUUAACUCUGUAAACCCACUUGUUGCCAACAAUUUUCCCAGCUGAUUCAGGAGGCACUAAAGUCCAGGUUUGAUUUCUUUGGAGAGCUUCAAAUUCUUCUUUCAUAGCUGAGUACCACCUAGGAUCUGUCAAUGCUGUUUUGACAUUGGAUACUGGUGGAGAAGAAUUUGAAGAUCUUGAGGGUUGAUCUAGAGAUUGUGAAUGAACAGAAUAGGAUCUGUCAAUGCUGUUUUGACAUUGGAUACUGGUGGAGAAGAAUUUGAAGAUCUUGAGGGUUGAUCUAGAGAUUGUGAAUGAACAGAAUGUGGCAAGGAAUGAGACUCUGAUGCAGGAGACAGAGCAGGACUGGAGACUGCAGCUGAUGGCUCUUCAUUGCUACUGUGACUAAGAACAGGUGUUUGAGGAAGAAAGAAAUGAACUGAAGAUGGAGUGGAGGUAGCAGAAUGAGAUAAGGUGUUGGACUUGGUUUUCAAAAACAGUUCAGAAUAUGGAAAUUCCAGUUCAUUGAAAGUAGCAUGUCUGGCAACAAAGACUUUCCCAGUUCGAUCAAGACACUUGUAGCCAUUAUGAAUGGGGCUAUAACCAAUGAAGACACACUUUUGAGUAUGGAAAUCUAGCUUGUGAUGAUGAUAAGGUCGAAGAAAAGGAAAACAGGAACAGCCAAACACUUUAGAAAACUUGUAAUCUGGAAGCUGAUUGUAUAGUUUCUGAAAAGGAGAUAAAUUGUUUUGAACAGGUGUUGGCAUUCUAUUCACUAAGUAAGUGGCUGUAUGAAAAGCUUCCCACCAAAAAGAGAGAGGUAAAUGAGCUUGAGCUAAGAGUGUGAGUCCAGUUUCAACAACAUGCCUAUGCUUCCUUUCCACCACACCAUUUUGAUGGUGAGUGUGGGGGCAACUAUAUCUAAAUUGAAUACCCUCUUGUUGGAGAAAUGAUCUGAAGGCUAUAAACUCACCCCCCAUAUCAGUUUGUAGUGUUUGGAUGGAUAAAGAAAACUGUUUUUCGACAAGAGAUUUGAAAUAUUUGAAGGUGUCUAAUGCCUCAGAUUUGAGUGUGAGUGGAAAUACCCAACAAUAUCUUGUGAAAUCAUCAACAAAAGAAAUAUAGUACUUGUAUCCAUCCAUAGACAACACAGAAGCUGGACCCCAUAAGUCAGCAUAUAAGAGUUGGAGAGGAAAUUUUGAUUUUAUAUUAGUGACUGGAAAAUGGAAUUGAUGUAAUUUACCAUAUUGACAAGCAUCACAAAAAUUAAGAGAUUGAGAAUGGGUUGAAUGCAUAGGAAGACUUUUCAUUAUUGUUUGCAAGACAUGUUUGGUUGGAUGACCAAACCUAUUGUGUAGCAACUGCAUAGACUGACUACUGGAAGCUAUAAAACUGACAUAAUUCUCAUUAUUGGAAUUGAUCAAAUUUGAACAGACAUUUGUUUGGUGAUUCAACUCUUUCAAAGAGUGUACAUUCUCUUUAUUAGAAAAAACAGACAACAUUGAACUAGGUUUGAGACCCAAGGCUUUAGAAUCAGAAAGAGGUGUAUCUUGAGUCAGUAGCUUAAAGAGACCAUCCUCAGCAAUCCCUUGUGCCAGCAAAGUUCCUUGCAUCUUGGCCUUAAUGAAACAAAGAUUAGAAACAAAUUCAAUGAUUAUAUGAUUGUCAGAGAGAAGUUUAGAUAAGCUAAUCAGAUUCUUGGUAAUUUUGGGCACACACAGAACAUUGGAAAUGUUUAAUUGAUUACCAAAGGAUGUAAGGAGACAUAUAUUGCCUAUAGAAGUAAUUCUAAGACCUUGUCCAUUACCAACUAAUAGCAACUGAGAUCCAAGAUAAGGUGUACCUUCAGCUAGGUUCUCCAUAUUGUUUGUGAGAUGAUGUGUUGCUCCACUAUCCAGAUACCAUCCUUGGUCAACAACUCCUUCUGAUGUAGCCAUGAAAGCAGCUUUGGAAGUUUGAUUCUGAUCUGGAAAGUUUCCUUGCACAGAAAAAUUAGGAACAAAAUUUCUGUUAAAUCUGUCUUUGCAAUCAGCUGCAGUAUGAUUGUGUUUGAAACAAAUCUGACAAACAAUAUUUCCUUUGCCUCCUCCUCUUCCAAAUCCAUUAUAGCCACCAGGAAAUCUACCAGAAAAAUUUCCAGCAGCACCAGCAAAAUUGCCUCUACCCUGAUUUCUAUUCCAGUUAUUCCAAUUAUUAUUCCAUUGUCCUCUACCUGAAUUUUGUCCCCUUCCUGGAUUGAAACCUCCUCUGUUUGUAAAGUUUCCAUUCCAGUUAUGAAAUCCAGGUUUGUUUCCAGUGUUUCCAUUCCAGCCUCCUUGACUAUUAUUAUUCCAGCCUCCCUGAUUGUUAACUUUCUUUUGAUUAUUCUCAGCCUGAGCUAAGUUAGCAGCAUAGUUCUGUUUCACUUCUUUGAAAGAAUUAGAUUGAUUGCUUUCUAAACGUGCCUCAUGUGUCAACAACAUUGAAUAAGCCUCAUUAAUACUCAUUUUUAGAACAUUUGCUUCAAUAUACACAACUACUGGAUAAUAAGGCUGACCUAAUCCAGAGAUGAGAUGAGUUAUAAAAUCCAAAGAACUAACAGGACUUCCAGCAAUAGCAAGCUCAUCUGUAACUGACUUCAACUUACUAAAAUAUUCUGUCAUAGUCAUAGAUCCUUUCUUCAGAUUAUUCAACAUCAUUUUGAGAUGAACUUUCUUAGCAGCAGUUUAAGAUCCAAAUUGUUGCUCUAAACUAGACCACAGUUCAUAAGAGGUUUUAGAGUUUACCACAAGGCUGAGGAUUUCAAUGCUGAUAGAGGAUAGCAGCCAGCUCAGCAGCAUCUGAUCUUGCUUCUUCCACACAUGAAACUCAGGAUUCUCUUGUGAAGUAACAGUUGAACUUGCAGAAGCAAUGAACAUAGCAUCUGAAUUUCCUUGAGUGCUUGAGAGAAAUUGAUCUGGACAGAUUCUGGAUCCAUCAAGCAAACUCUCAAGCUCAUUUGCUCGAACUGAGGAUAGAAUUUGAGAUUUCUAGAUUGAGUAAUUUGAUCGAUCAAGUUUUAUUGGAGUUGUGAAAGUAAAGGUUGUUGCUGAAGAAGAGAUGUUUGUGGUCAAGCUUGAUAAUGCCAUGAGAUUAGACUAGAUGUGGCUCUGAUACCAAAUUGAAGUUUAACCAAGCUAUUUAUGCUUGUUUGGUUGCAGAGAAAAUGAAGGAAAAUUCAAUGAGCAAUAAGAGAAACUAUAAGAAAAAAUAGAUCGAAUUUUAUUCAAUGAAUUAUGAAUACAGAGGUUGAUCUUAUAUACUAAGAUCCAGAACCUUCUGCAUUGCUCACACACGUGUUGAGAGUGAGCUGUGAUUAACAAACUUCUCAGCUCUAUAACAAACUUACAAACUAACAAAUAACAACCUUGCUUACUCAGCUGCCACAUCAGCAGAAUCAUUACAAAAAUAUUCUUUAUAUUUAUAACUCUAACAAGUUCAACUUCUUUGUCGACAAUAAUUCUUACAUAACAACAACGAAAAAAAGAAAAAAGAAAAAUCAAAUAUAGUGUUAGGGCUUCAAGGGAUUCUCCAUGGAGUGAUCUUUAAAUAAAAAACCAGCACCGCCCUCCGUUUGAUUUCUCCUGAAGAAAAGAUUUUAUCGAUAUUUUCCUUCUUUUUCACUCUCACUCUUUUUUUGAAAAAUUUCUUUCUGUACUUAUCAAAAGUUUUGCCUACAGCUGGAACCGAACAUAUAAAAUUUAAGGAUGAUUUAGAAUGUAUGUUAAGGUAUUAAUUUUUAUUACCUUGUAUUCUAGUGAUGGCAGACCUAUUAAUUCAUGAAAUCGAAGAAUUCUGAAGUUGUUUUGGUCCACUAAUCUUAGCUUUAGGAUAAGUGCUGACAAUUUCUUCUUCGGUCAUGAAUUAAGAUCCAAUCAUGUAGCUAGUAAAACAAACAUUCUGUAACUAAUUAGCCUAUAACAGAUUCGAUCUGACUGUACCAUAAGCAUAUGUAUAUGUGUAUUAAUGACUGGAGUUCAAUUAAUAAUUGCAAACUCAGCAAUAAAUAAUCUGUUAAUGGAUUCUGAUGUGUGUUCGUAGUGGAUUUACGAUGGUACUCAAAGUUCUCCAUGUUGAAUGAAAUUUCAAUUUGUAUUGAUAAAUACAAAUGACUUGCACAAUACAAACGCGGGACCCAAGUGGCCAAAAAGUUUUUCAUUACUCGCUUUAUCUCGCACUAGAAAACAUUUACAGCAAGCCGAGGCCUAAUUAAGAAGACCAAAAGGUUCAUUACGAAUAUGAAACUACAAGUUUAAGAGGGGAGAUAAGCCCCUUGCCCACUAUCUUCUUGUCUCCUAUCGAGUCCUGCUAUCCCAUCAAUAGCACUCAAUUUGAAGCAGCCAAAAGGUGGCGCAAUUGGAUUCAACCCACAGAUUGCCUACCAUUACAUGUAUCAUCUCCGAACUGUGCCGUAAAAUGGGAAUCUUGUUGAGGAUAUUAUCUCAAGGAGAAUAGUAACAAGGCUAACAAUAUAAACUCGAGGAAUUUUUAAAUUUUGAGCUAGUUCUUGAACUUUUGAGUUGAAUUAGACCAUGUGUUUCUAUAAAUUUAAAAACCGCGAUUGGAUUCAGCCCGACUGACAAAGGCUUAUCAAACUCAUUUGAGACCAAAGCACGAUUACGAGAUCCCCGCAGAAAUCUUAUUUGUUAAUAGAGCAGAAAAUGGUUUGUUCAAGUGAGCAUGCUAAAGAUUGCUGGCAUCUUCCCCUCGUAAACCUGAAGAUAUGGCUAAUCUUUCAUAAAUGUUUGAGAUGCCAAAAGGCAGUAAAAGUUGUCUAAUAGGAAAUUUGAAAUGAGGAUGCUGUGAAGUCUCUUAUUUUUAGGAAUAGUUGGAUUAAGAUAAAGCAUGAAAUGAUUAUAAUUUUACUGAAGUUGCAGUUAGAAGUUUAUUGAUUUCUCGUGUUCUAUUUUCUAUUUUCUAUUUUCUAUUUCCUAAUUUUAUAUUUCAAUAAAAACAGUCGGUUUGUAUCACUCUCACUCUUGUUGAAUCAAAAAUCAAAAUCACUCUUUCUAAUUAAGACUGUGUCCAGUGCAAAAUAUAUUUAUUUAGAUAUCAUUCAACUUUAUCUAUUUAAAUUGUAAUAAAAACAUAUCCUUCAUUCAUAAUAGCGGCCAAGAUUCGCACAAAGGAACACCAGCUCGACUAUCGUGCAGGGAAAUAAUUGAUGACAAGAUUCUUACGUUCUAAACACGUACGGCAUUGUGGAAAGUUGAACCGUAUUAUUAUAUGCAAUUAACCCAAUAUAUCAAAAUACAUAUACAAAACAUGUGGACACUAUUUUGAGAGAUAAUUGAUUGAGGAAAUUCGGUAUAAUUUUAGGCAAUUAAAUAAAUCUUUUUGAAAUUUACAUGUGUUUUGGGAGAUAAUUGUCGUGUAAAUCAGUGCUCGCGCAUGUAUAAAAUUAAUCUCUAUUAACUGGGAAGUUUCUUGGGGUGACACAAGUGGAUAUACACUAUUCGUGAUGUACAAGACAACAUUAUCAGGAAAACAGACGUGCCAAUUAAUAAUAAAGGACUAGCAGUUGAAGCUGACCAAAUUAAUUUUAUGUGUGUAAGAUUUCAAGAUAGUUUCCUGUAGAAUUUAAUGGUCAUGUGUUUCUUCGGCUCCUUCCUCAAAUCCAGCACAACGGCAUAGUCACAUGCAUGAAGAUUUUGGAGUCUUUGGCUGCACAAUUUUUCUGGACUUUAAUUUGCAUUAGUUAUUGGCUUUUUUAUAUUGCUCUUUAAUCAGCUUUUUCCGAUAAAAUAUUUCUGUAUUAGUUUUCGAUUAAAAUAGUCCUGGCCUCCUGGGAAGUUAUGGUACGAAUCAGAUUCUUUUAUCAACAUUUGACAAUUUCUUUUUCAAAGCUUUGAGUAGUGGAAUCAAUGAAAGAAGAAAUUAAUGUAAGAAGAAUAAUUAAAUGGGUACUCUCUUAGCCCCUUUAUCUGCUUAAAUAAAGAUUUUUGAAUACCUUGUUGGUGUGGCUAGUUAUGCUUGAAGUUGUUCUACAGUGUCUCGCUUGAAAAUUCCGAUACAAAAAAUUAAAAAGAAUCAUCUUCAUCACAUAGUCGACAGAACAUACACAUAUUCAACAGAGCAUACAGAGCAUACAGAACAUACACAUGUUCAAAAAAAUUUAUAUUGCGAUCAGACUUGACUCUUGAGCCUUGGUCAUUCCAUCACUAUCGUAGUUCCCCAUGAUACGUCAUGAGGGGAACUCAGUCAUUCCAAGACGGGUACAGUCAUCUUGUAAGGAGAUGAUUUAAUUUUACGACAUUACCCCUUCAGUGCACUCAUCUUUUAAACCGUAAGUAAUCAUCCUAGAGGAUGCAUCAUGGGACCUUCGCUGAUUGCUGAGUGUAUUGACUCAAGAAAGAACUUUUAAUUUCAUUACAGGUUUCAUAAGAUCAAAGUUGAGGGUAGAUCAAAGCUGUGACUAUUAAAAAUAUGUUCGUGACAUUAUACUCACAAAAUUUAUUACGGCAGUCAUAAUUUUGCCAUUUAUGUAUAGAGUACUCAAAAUUAUUGAAUUUCAUUUAAAAAAGGUUAAAUUAUAGAAUUUCAUUAAAAAAAAUUUCAAAUUAAACUUAUCAUAAAAAAACCUGAACCGUCCAUGCAAAAUCUAAGUGAUUAAAAGAGAUUAUAAGAACAAUUUAAUUGAUUAAUUAUCAAUUCUUUUUUAUAUGUAAAAUUGGUAUUUUACAAGUUAAUUAUAAUUAACUAACAGAAAUGUAGCAAAAUAUAGGGUUUAUUAGAGAUAUUUAACAAUUCCUGAAGUAUCAUGGUAUAAAAUGUUAUACCCUAAUAUUUCCUGCACCAAUUUAUUUUACAAUUCCUAAAAUAGUAAAAUGAAUAUAACGCAUAAAAUUAAUUAAAUUAUUAACAUAGCUUCUGUCCUUUAUAGUAAUUUCAUUAGAUGUUUCAUGAGAUCAAAGUUUUGAGGGUGAAUUAAUCAAAGAAAAUGGUUGUGGAUGGUUAUAACAUUCGACCAAAAAUAAUAUUAUUAUUUGGUUGGAGCCAUAGCAGGGUAGGCCCAGUCCCAGUCCCUUGUGCCCGUUCCGGUCAUUGGCAAGACAGUCUGCCAUGCAAGCAAGCGAAGGAGGAAAAUGUGAGGUAUUUUUACAUCACUUGCCAAAUGUGUAAUAUUUGCUUACUUGGACUUCAAAGUCAGUAGUUUAAUGAAAUUGGAACAUUUUUAGGACUUAAGAGACUCUCCUGAUCUAAUCUUCUUUCUAUAAUUUUGAAGUAGUUCCUAAGUUGAAUUAGAUCGUGGGUUUCUAAAAUCUAAAAAUUCCAAUAGGAUUCGACCCCACAUACAAAGACUUACCAAACUCAUAAUUUUUAUGAGUGAUUGUCGUGUAAAUAAGUGAUUGCGGACGUGACCAAUUGGGCUUUAGCCUAAUGGUGAACCGCUACUUUCAAAGUUAAAAAGAAGUAUAAGAGUAGUGAUUCGAGAAUCCAAUUGGGAUUUUUAGAUUAAUAGAAACAUUUGGUAUAAUUCAACUCAUGAACUAGAUCAAUAACAGAAAAUUCUUUAAGUUUAUAUGGUUGGCCUAGUUACUAUUCUCCAUUGACGUGAGAUGAUAUAUCCACAACAAGAUUCCCUUUGUACUGUGCAGUUCGUGUUGGAAAUUUUCAAAAUAAUUGUGUCUUAUGGUAAAGACAUGUCCUAUUAAUUGUGCCUUAUAGAAAAGGUACCUUUCACUAAAGACUUGUCUAAUUAAAUGAUGUCUUAUUGUAAGGACAUGUCCAUUUAAUUGUGUCUUGUAGAAAAGGUAUCCUUUUACUAAAUGAUAUAACUUUUCAUGGCAACAUUUCACUUAGAGAUGCAUCAUUUCAUAGUGACAUUUCAUUUGAAAUGGUGAUGGUUCAAUUUAGACCAUUGAUUAAAAUCAAAUCUAGAUCCAAUGGCCAUGAAUGAAGGGGUAUCAUGAAAGAUGAUAACCCAAAUGAGGAGGCACAAGUAUAUCUAUAAAUAGGGGUCAUGUUUAAGCCAUUUAGACAUGAAAUGAAUGAUCCUACACCACUCUUUUCUUAGCAUUCCUUUCUAGUACGAAUCUCAACACAAAACACCCAUUUCUUUUGUGCAUUCACAUUCCAAUAUAUUGUUUUCUGCAGGAACAAUAUAUUAUUUCUUGGUAGGCUUGCAACAUUCAAGAGUAUUCUAGUUUGCUUUCGUCGAUGCACAACGCAAGCAAACAAACAAGUGCUUCAUUGUAUCCUGGAGGCGUAUUUGCUUAACCCAUGUGCAUCACUCAAUUGGUGGGGGCAAAUAACGUCUUAAGGAAAGCGACAUUUGUAACGUGCCUUGAAGCACACAAAAUUUCUGCAGUUUCUUCCUACAUACAGAGUUAGUUGUAAACACAUUAUUUUACAUAAUAAAGUUCCACCAUUAUUGUUGUAUUUCUCUACAUUUGUCAUUCCCCACAAAAUUUACCACCAACAAUCUUAAGACGUUAUUUCUACAACAAUGGCACCAAGUUCAUCUCUUCGACAAUUUGCAGUAGAUUUUGUCAAAUUGGAGCGGUUUGAUGGUGGCAACUUUAUUCGUUGGCAGAAAAAGUUGCAUUUCUUGUUGACAAGCCUCAAUGUGGUCUAUGUUCUCACAACACCAAAGCCUCAAGAACGUGAGAAUGAGACAUUAGCGGAAACCAGAGUGCGACAUAAGUGGGAGCAAGAUGACUACGUGUGUAAGGGACACAUUUGCAAUGCCAUGUCUGAUACUUUGUUUGAUCAAUAUCACAACAAACCUACAUCAAAAGAGAUAUGGGACUCAUUAGAGGCUAAGUACAUGAUGGAAGAUGCCACAAGUAAGAAAUUCUUGGCUUCUAAAUUUUUUAAUUAUAGAAUGGUUGAUAAUAGACUCGUGGUUGAACAAUAUAAUGAGAUUUUGCAUAUUCUUGAUCAAUUCAACCAACAUAACAUGAAAAUGGAUGAGUCUAUUAUUGUCUCUUCAAUUAUUGAUAAACUUCCUCCCUCUUGGAAAGACUAUAAGAAAAGUCUUAAACAUAACAAAGAGGAAAUUAGUCUGGAUGGCUUAGGCCAAAGUCUUCGUAUUGAAGAGGAACUCAAGCUUAAUAGUCUUGAGGAUCAGACUACUAUGUCCUCUAAAAUUAAUGUCGUAGAGGAAGGGAAGGAGUUUAAGCAUUCUAAUCACCCUAAGAAUAACCAAAAGAGAAAGUUUGAUUCCAAAGAGAAUCAAAACAAUAAGAAGAAAAAGAAGGGUACAUGCCACCACUGCGGAAAACCUGGCCAUUUCAAAAGAGAUUGUCGACUUCUGAAGAAACAAAAGGAAGUUUCGAACACAAAUCUUGUGGCCAUGAUAUCUGAGAUUAAUGUUCUUGAAGAUGAUAAUGCAUGGUGGAUAGAUUCUGGUGCAACCAAGCAUGUAUGCAAGGAUCGUAGCCUUUUCAAAUCUUAUAAAGCAAUGGAUGAUGGAAGUGUUCUUUACAUGGGAAAUUCCUCCACUGCAAUAGUUAAAGGAAAAGGCAAUGUGCAACUAGAGUUCACUUCCGGAAAAACUUUAACUCUUACAGAUGUUUAUCAUGUUCCUGAAGUUAGGAAAAACCUUGUAUCUGGUAGCCUUCUUAAUAAGUUUGGCUUCAAACUUGUUUUUGAGUCAAACAAGUUUAUAUUAUCUAAGGGUGGUACCUUUGUUGGGAAAUGAUACAUGUAUGAAGGAAUGUUUAAACUCAAUAUCAAUAAUAUGAAUGUUUCUUCUGCUUAUAUGGUUGAUUCAUUAUCUUUGUGGCAUAAUCGUUUAGGACAUGUGAAUGUUAGAAGAUUGCAUGAUAUGGCUAAUUUAGAAUUAAUUCCUAAGCAUGAAAAUGAUAUGCAUGAAAAAUGUAAAGUAUGUGCACAAACUAAAAUCACAAGAUCUCCUUUUCCAAAAAUUGAAAAAACAUCUUCUUUAUUGCAUUUAAUUCAUAGCGAUGUGUGUGAUAUGCAUAGUAAUCCUUCUAAAGGUGGUAAAAAAUAUUUUGUAACAUUUAUUGAUGAUUUUUCAAAAUAUUGCUAUGUGUAUUUAUUACAUUCUAAAGAUCAAGUGUUAGAAAAAUUUAAAACUUAUAAAAAUGAAGUUGAGAAUUUUUGUGACACUAAAAUUAAAUGCCUUAGAAGUGAUAAAGGAGGUCAAUAUGCUUUUUCUGAUUUUUGUGAAUCUGUUGGCAUUGUACACGAAACUAGCACUGCAUAUACUCCACAACAAAAUGGUGUAGCUGAAAGGAAAAAUAGGACAUUAAUAGAAAUGGUUAAUGCUAUGCUUUUUAAUGCUGGGCUUGGUAAAGGUUUUUGGGGUGAAGCUAUUUUAACUGCAUGUCAUAUCUUAAAUAGAGUGCCUAAUAAGAAAACAAAGGUGACUCCAUAUGAAUUAUGGAAAAAGAAAAAGCCUAAUCUUUCUUAUCUAAGAGUUUGGGGUUGUCGAGCCAUUGUAAGACUACCAGAACCUAAGAUAAAGAAAUUAGGAGAAAGGGGCAUUGAAUGCAUAUUCUUGGGAUAUGCAGAGCAUAGUAAAGCUUAUAGGUUUCUUGUAACAGAACCUAAUAGCUUUGUUGAGAUCAAUACUAUAGUGGAAUCUAGAGAUGCAAUAUUCUAUGAAAAUAGAUUUUCCACUAUACCAAAAAGUAUUGAUUCUCAAGAGAAUGAUAAACAAAUAGAAAUUGGUCAAAAGCGUAAUGCUAAUAAUGAGCAAAAUCAUUUGAGAAGAAGUAAAAGAAUAAGGACUCUAAAAUCUUUUGGACCAGAUUUUAUAGUUUAUUUAGUUGAAGGGACAAGAGACUCACAAUCAAAACAGACCAUGAUCACAUCUACUAUAGAGUCUGAUCCCCUCACCUAUGAAGAGGCAAUGAAGUCUCAAGAUGCUGCUUUUUGGAAAGAGGCCAUUAAUGAUGAAAUGGACUCUAUUGUGGGUAAUAAGACUUGGAAAUUAGUUGAUUUACCUCCUGGCUCUAAUCCUAUAGGUUGUAAAUGGAUUUUCAAAAAGAAGAAGAAAGUUGAUGGAACAAUUGAAAGAUUUAAAGCAAGACUAGUAGCAAAAGGCUUUACACAAAAAGAAGACCUUGAUUAUUUUGAUACUUAUGCACCUGUUGCAAGAAUUGCUACUAUUAGAGUCUUGAUUGCUUUGGCUUCAAUUUAUCAAUUUGAAAUCCAUCAAAUGGAUGUAAAAACAGCUUUCUUAAAUGGAGAAUUAGAUGAGGAAAUUUACAUGAAACAACCAGAAGGGUUUGUUAUGCCAGGACAAGAACAUAAAGUUUGUAAACUAGUCAAGUCUUUAUAUGGUCUUAAACAAGCUCCAAAGCAGUGGCACGAAAAGUUUGACAAAGUGAUUGUCUCAAAUGGAUUUAAUAUUCAUGAAUCUGAUAAAUGUGUCUAUAGCAGAUUCAAUGGAAAUAAAGGUGUGAUUAUUUGUUUAUAUGUAGAUGACAUGUUAAUUUUUGGUACUGAUAGUGAGAGCAUUGAACUCACUAAAUUAUUAUUGUCAUUUAAUUUUGAUAUGAAAGACAUGGGACUUGCUGAUGUGAUUUUGGGGAUUAAAAUUAUAAAAAAUGAGAAUGGCCUAGUAUUGACCCAAUCACAUUAUAUUGAGAAAAUUUUAAAGAAAUUUUAUUAUUAUGAUUGUAAGUCUGUGUCAACACCUUUUGAUUCAAAUAUAAAACUGUAUCCUAACACUGGCAGAUCAGUAUCCCAAUUAGAAUAUGCACGUAUUAUUGGAUGUCUUAUGUACGCAAUGACUUGUACUAGGCCUGAUAUUGCUUUCGCUGUUGGAAAGCUCAGUAGAUAUACUAGUAAUCCAAGCCAAGCACACUGGCAAGCAGUGUACAGAAUUCUAAAAUAUUUAAAACAUACAAUGGAUUAUGGUAUAUACUACACUGGAUAUCCUUCAGUUUUGGAAGGAUUUUCGGAUGCUAGUUGGAUUACUGAUCGAGAUGAUCAUACAUCCACAAGUGGUUGGAUUUUUAAUCUUGGUGGAGGAGCUAUUUCAUGGGGCUCAAAGAAGCAAACUUGUAUAGCAGACUCCACCAUGGCUGCAGAAUUUGUAGCUUUGGCUUCAUGUUGCAAGGAAGCUGAAUGGUUAAGGAAUUUGCUUAUAGAAAUUCCUAUUUGGUCUAAACCAAUGCCUCCUGUAUCUAUUCACUGUGAUAGUGAGGCAACUUUAUCAAGAGCAUAUAGUCAAAUCUAUAAUGGAAAGUCUAGGCACAUUGGUCUAAGACAUAGUUAUGUAAGACAAUUACUUACAGAUGGAGUAAUCACAAUUGACUUUGUGAAAUCAUGCCAAAAUUUGGCAGACCCCUUAACUAAAGGCCUUGCAAGGGAUAUUGUAUUUAAAACUUCUGAGGGGAUGGGACUGAAGCCAGCAUCAUCUUAUCACCAAUGAUGGAAACUCAACCCAACACUUGAAAUAUCAAGAUCUUGGGUUCAAUGAGCAAAAGUACAUCAUAUGUUGUGAUAGCAAGCACUAUAAUAUUUUUAGAUGCGUCCCAAAGGUUAGUGCUUGAUACCUGUAACAUAUGGAAAAAGUUAAGCUACUUAGCUUUUAAUGGACUUAUAAAUGUUUUAGUUACAGGGACAUUCUAGAUAAGUCCACCUAUGUGAGUGUAGGAGGUGGUGCCGCUUCCUAUGUAACUUGGCUGGUUACUAAAGCGCUCAUGAAAACAGGAUAUAGACACAGGGCCAAUCCACGUGUCGGCUAAGGAAUACUUGAGAAUUUGAAAACUUAUGUGUGAGAUAUAUCCGGUUAGUCGAUUAAGGUUGCUGGUUCAAAGCUUGCCUACCAUGCCACCUUGAUUAACUUUGAUGUAUUGUCGCUAAGUGAAGGUUCAAGUCCAAAAGACACCUUCAUCUAUGCCUAAGUUUUCCAAGCUUGUGCAAGAUCAUUUUUCCAAAUUCAUUUAUUUUGAAAAUGGUGGGGGAUUGUUGGAAAUUUUCAAAAUAAUUGUGUCUUAUGGUAAAGACAUGUCCUAUUAAUUGUGCCUUAUAGAAAAGGUACCUUUCACUAAAGACUUGUCUAAUUAAAUGAUGUUUUAUUGUAAGGACAUGUCCAUUUAAUUGUGUCUUGUAGAAAAGGUAUCCUUUUACUAAAUGAUAUAACUUUUCAUGGCAACAUUUCACUUAGAGAUGCAUCAUUUCAUAGUGACAUUUCAUUUGAAAUGGUGAUGGUUCAAUUUAGACCAUUGAUUAAAAUCAAAUUUAGAUCCAAUGGCCAUGAAUGAAGGGGUAUCAUGAAAGAUGAUAACCCAAAUGAGGGGGCACAAGUAUAUCUAUAAAUAGGGGUCAUGUUUAAGCCAUUUAGACAUGAAAUGAAUGAUCCUACACCACUCUUUUCUUAGCAUUCCUUUCUAGUACGAAUCUCAACACAAAACACCCAUUUCUUUUGUGCAUUCACAUUCCAAUAUAUUGUUUUCUGCAGGAACAAUAUAUUGUUUCUUGGUAGGCUUGCAACAUUCAAGAGUAUUCUAGUUUGCUUUCGUCGAUGCACAACGCAAGCAAACAAACAAGUGCUUCAUUGUAUCCUGGAGGCGUAUUUGCUUAACCCAUGUGCAUCACUCAAUUGGUGGGGGCAAAUAACGUCUUAAGGAAAGCGACAUUUGUAACGUGCCUUGAAGCACACAAAAUUUCUGCAGUUUCUUCCUACAUACAGAGUUAGUUGUAAACACAUUAUUUUACAUAAUAAAGUUCCACCAUUAUUGUUGUAUUUCUCUACAUUUGUCAUUCCCCACAAAAUUUACCACCAACAGUUCGGAGAUGAUACAUGUAGUUCAAAAACAGAAAAUUCCACAAUUUGAUCACCGCCACCUUGGGGCUGGUUCAAAUUGGAAAUUAUUGAUGCCGCAAUAAAUGAUGAAUCAGACGGCUGGGUUAGCAGGAUUUAUGAGACCUCAAGAUUCUGGGCUUGUUCUUUUCUUGGGCUUCUCUCCCUUCUAAAACUUGUAGUUUUAUCUUUGAAAUGAACCUUAGGACCUUCUUAAUUAGGCCCAGGCUUGCUAUAACCCCACGGCAACCCCGCAAAACAAAUUUUUAGGCAACUUAGGUCCUGCAUUUCUAUAGCACAGAUCAUUCUUCUUAGCCAAUUGUCUACAUAUACUAUUUAAUUUGAAAUAAAUUGAAAUUUCAUUCAACAUAGAGAGAUUUGAGUGCCGUCGUACAUCUUCUACAAACACACAUCAAAAUUGAUUAACCGAUUAUUUAUUACAAGAAGACAAUGGAUUAAAUUAUUGUACUUUCAAAUUAUGAGAGGAAAAAAGAUUAUUUACAAAUGCAGUGUACAUUCACUCUUCCUUUAAUCCCCAAGUAAUUAAAGUUUCAAUUAGAUGUGUACAUGCCUCUCGACCUUUUUUGAGUGGUGGGCUGCUGUCCUCACACGGUGUGAGUUCUAAUGGACUCAACUCUCUCUCAAUUAAGAAUAAUUGAGUGGAGACCAUUGCAGUCUUUUUCCCUUUCAAAAAUUGUAAGUGGAGCAAGAAUCCCUCAAAUAUUAAUAUUAUUACUUUUGGAUAGUAUUGUAGCAGGUGCUGUGGUGAUACUUUUGGAUAGUAUUAUUAUUUUAAAAUAUUAAUUUUUGGUCUGUUAAAAAUAUUUCAUACUUAAAUUUGAGAAUUGAUAUUGGAUCGAGAAUUGGUGUUGGACUUGUAGUUUCUUUUUUUGGGACUAAUGUUGAAAUUUUAAUUUUCCAUUUACAUUGAUGAAAUUUAGAAUUGAAUAUUUUAUGUGAAAUUAUAGGUUAUUGUUACAAAUUUUUAUAUUGAGUUAUUUAAUUUAAUUUUUUAGGUAUUAUUAAAUGUAUUUUUUUAACAUUUGUGAUUUUAAAUGUGGGAACGCACAAAAAAUCCAUUGAAUAUCAUUGCGGUUUUGGUAAUUGUCAAAAUUCGUAGUUGGUGAGUUUUCUUAAAAAAAAUUAAAAUCCAUAGCAGGUUGCAAGUAAAUUUAAUAAUUGAAAUUUUAUACGAGUAUAAGUUUAGUAAUAAUAAACCUGGGGACUAUGCACAAUUGCACAUUGCCAUCCCUAUCUCAACUAGUUGUCUGAUUAUAAUGCCGGUAGUUAUCUGCAAUAAUAGUAAUUCCUAAAUAUCUCUUAUGUAAUAUUAAGUUGUUUAAUUGUACCGGUAUAUAUAAAAAAAAAGAUGUAUACAUGUAAAUAUGUAAUUGCCUAAAGUCUACCAAGCUUCUAAGUCAGUCUAGUCAAAAUUGUCAAAAGAAAUUUCAUAUUUCGCAAUGGAAGAAGUUGUGCCUGCCUUUUGGAUGAGGCCUCAAAAGUGCAUGCUUUUUGGAUUGAGGCCUCAGAGGUAGAAUUAACUAUUAAUUAAAGAACAAAAACAAAGCGCUCUCAAAGUAAAGUCAACCAAACCAUUAUUUUUGGUGCUGUACAUACUAAUUAUUAUUUUAUAAUCAACAAUGACAUCGGCAGCUCUUUUAUCCACUAGCCAAAUACAAACUUUGAUUCUUAUUCAAUUAAAAGAAUUCCUAAACUUUAAUAAUCAUAUUUUUGUUUAAUACUAAUACUUUUUUUCAUUUACCAUUUUUUUCCAGUCUAAGGAUAGUCAAAAGGAAAUCUCGAAUUCGCCCAUUUUGUUAAAUUAAAAUAUUAAAACUAAUUAUUAUUUGCUGCAAGGAAUCUCCAGUUUGACACAUUCAGUUAGACACACUAAUAAAAAAAGAAAAAAAAACGUGGGUAUUCUUCCAUUUCAGAUUUUUUAUUAUGUACAACAAAUAUAACUAUAUGGAACUAAUAUAACUACGUGACAAAUAUAAUAAUAAAUGCGAACCAUAUCAUACGUAUAAGCUUUCGAUGACAAUAUCCCUAAGAGGCAUGACCGAAAAUAAAGGCAUGCAUAAAUUGACAGGCCACAGUUCACCAGACAGACAUCAAUUCUCAGAAGCAAUUCACAAAGAGAUUGCAACACACGUCUUGUUACAGUAUCACUCGUCUCACCAGAUGACAGAUGUACAUCGUUCAUCAAUUAUAGAAAGUAAGUUGAUGCUUAGUGUGAUCAUACUUAAAUAUCACUAUGUUAAUUGAAAUUACAAUUUGACCAUGGACCGACAUAGAAAUGUUUCAUAUUUCCUUUCUAUUUCUGCCUUUUUAGUUUUUACCCACUAGAGGGUUGUUUCACGAUGCACGAACGUUGAAAUCAAAGUCACCUUAAUUAAUCGAACCAUUAUUGAUCAUUAUAUCCACUAAAGUUGCAGCUUAGCUCGAUAUGAUAUUGAUUCUGCAUGACUUAAUUCUCAUGAAUCAUGAUACUAUUGUACGUACUAAAUAGUAUCAGAUUGGAUUGAGCACCUACAGAGGAAUCUCUUCGUUGCGGGGCUUUGAUUUUGUAAUAUGCAAUGAAAGCAACAAAUCAAAAGUAACUCCACCAAGUUUGAAAAAGACUUACCAAAAGAAAUGAGCAAUAAUAUCUGGUUUGGUGAAAGUGUUCUUAAUUUUUUAGUAAAUAAUGGAAGAACUAAUAAGGCACAACGCGUCUUAUUGCCAAUGAUUUUCAGCAACUUGCAUUACCGAAGUCAUCCUCCCAAUUUUCUCUAUGCGUAGUCUUCAAUUUAUCCCUUGCUUACCUAGUCAGAUUUCUUUCCUUUUUGGUCUAACAAUUGGGAGUUUAAUAAAGAAGGAAAAAAAAACCUUGAAUCAACAAAGUGUUGGCUCCACUGACAAUGGAGUCCCCUUAAGUGGCUUGACUGGGUUUGCUCCCCAGUUCGAGUCGCAGGAAAGUCGCAUUUAUUGGGAGAACAUGUGCCUCUUGGUUCAAACGGGGACUUUUAAUCUGGGUUGUGGUACGAAUUUAAAGGUGCUUCUUACAGUUGGGGCCCUCCCCAGGAUACCUCGUGGUCAAAACCAAAAAAAAAAAAAAAACCUUGAAAGGUCUUUUAUUUGCAACAGAAGUCCAAAGGAUGGGCGACGCCGAAUGUGAACUGUUUUCACCUAUGGGAGAGAGACUUAAUCUUCUCUUUUAUCUUCAAAAUUAGCGAUUCAUUUAUUUUACCAAGUAACCAGGAAAAGAGCUUGAACAUCACAGUGCCCAAGAACCUCAGUGCCCAAGAACCUGAUUAAUUUUCUUUACUUGCCCAACAGAAACAUUAUCCUCCAUUAAUAACAAAGAGCUGCAAGAACUUGGAACAUCCCAAAAUAUUAUUUUCCAUUUCUCCAUUUCCUCGGGCUUUUAUUAUUCAUGGCAACAUUGCACUGUAAUUGAGAUAAAUGCAUUUAUCCGCACCCAUAUUAAUUGAGGAGACAGGUUAGAAUUUCCCGUGCAUGAUAAACCAAUUAUCCAAUGGUACAAUUAAAAUUUCAAAUAGAUAUAUCCAAUUAUGUAAUUGCCUAAAACCUACCAAGCUUCUUAGUUAAUCUGCUAAACAUAGAAUAUUCGACAGCCACUUUUUUGAUAAAUUGGGUUAUUUAACUCCUAAAAUUAAGCUUCAAUAGAAUAUUCUUAGUUAACCCAUAAAUGUAUUAGGUACUUCUCCUAAAGCUUAUUUUAAUGGAACAAAACAACUUCAAAUCAAUUCCGCAAGUCAAUAUUCCAAAAAAAUUUUCCUUCUCAUGAAUUAAUAGAUCUGCCAAUAUACAAAAAAGAAUAUUUCAUGUACAUGUACGACCCAGUUUGGAAAAUCUUUUCUACUUUGUCCGUUUGUGACCAUUAUUAUUACUUUGAGUAUGUUAUUUUUUAAGCCUAAAUUUAAAAAUAAAUGCAAAAUCGUAAUGUAUAAAGCCGAUUUAUUUUUCCCAAAUUGAACAUAAUGAAUUUUCAACCAUGCUUCCUUACAACUUAAGGAAUUAAGGAGUUGGAGUGUGUGUGUUCCGCACUUCCACUAAAGAAGAAGCACUGGAUUUUGCUGACAAAAACGUCCUUGUUUAUGAGAUCUUUUGGUCAAUCUCCAUUUGGUAUUCUCUCCCUUUUUUUUCUCUUUAAUGUUUCUAUUCAAGUGAUGCGAUAAAAUUAGCGAACGAGUCCAAGUGUUGAUUCUUUGAUCCAAUAUUGUCAAUCUGUCCGGUUCAAGGCAGCAUAAUUGAAUGUAACACGAAAUCAUUUUAACUCAGAAUUGUUAUAUAUCAAAGGGGGAGAUUAUAAGUUAAUAUAUAGUCAAUACUCCUCCCAGAAUAAUUUUACAGUAUUUCCAUUAUUUUCAAAUAUAUUUUUGCUUAUAUUUAUUAUAAAUUAAAUAAACCAUAUGAAUAGAAAUUAAAAUAAAAAAUUUAAGAAUUAAAAAUAAGAAAUAUAAGUUUCAGUUUGAAUAAAAAAUAAAUAGUAAGAUAAUUUUUCUUAUACUUUUUUUUUAUUUUUUAAAUAAUUUUCUUAAUACACACACACUCAAGAUAAAUUACCAAACAAAUGACCGAUUUUCCUUUAAAUUUUUGGUGCCAUGAGAGGUUUUGGAUUUUAUGAAAACAACAUGCGAUAAAUGAUAUAUAUUGAUUUCAGUAGAGCUCAGAAGACCAACAAUCUUCCCAUAUCAAACCUAUUUGUAGUUUUUUUUUUCUUAUAUUUAUAUUCAUGUUUUACUCUUCUUUUAUUAACAAAUCUGUGUUAAGAGAAGGAAAUUUUUUUUAUUUUUCACUUACAAGCAUACCCUAAGACGCUUGGUGCUUACAAAUUUAGUUAGCUGUUAAUGAUUUACUGUUAAUUCUUUUUUUAUUUUUUAAAUUCACUAAGUUUUUCAGUGGCAAGAACAAGGAAAAGUUGUCGGUUAGAAUUGUGUUGUAUUGUCAAACAUUAUGAAUAUUCUUCUUUUGACUGGAAAGCGAUUUCAUCUAUAGUAGUUGAGGUAGGUUCCUCUUCCUCUACUAUUUCAUUAGAUUGAAAUGUAUGAAAUCAUUUAGUCUCCUUUAAAUUAUUAGAAAUUUGUAGUGUUUGAAGUUAUAUAUUAUUAUUAGGCAUUGUCCUAACUUCAUAUUGAGUCUUAGGUAUUAUCCCAUAAUUAUACUUAAACUUGAUGUAAUAUUGUGUGACGUUGUGUUUUAUCCAUUAUUGCUUUUCUAAUGAAAUGCAUACUAACUAUUAAUUUAUAAUCAACUGACGCCAAGGAUAGUCAAAAGGAAAUCUCGAGUUUGACGUAGAGAUGGCAAAAUCCUGGGCCGGGUCCGGGUAUUGCCAUGACCGGACCCUGCCCGGAUGCAAUCGGUCCGGGUCCGGGUUCGGGCCGGGUUUUGAUUCGGGUACCCGGAUUUUAUAUUUUUUAAUAUUUAUGUGUAUAUAUUUUUUAUUUUUUUAGUAAUUUUAUAAGUUUUAAAUUUAUUUCAAUAAAAUUUGACAUGAAAAUAUAAAUUUUAAGUGUUUAAAACUUUAUAUAUGUAUAAUAAAUAAGUCAAAUAAAUAUAAAAUAUUUAAAAUAAUAUAUAUUUUAUAAUUGUUUUUAAUAAAAUCCGGGUUCCGGGUUUAUCAAGUGAUGCCCAAGACCGACCCGGCUUCAUACCCGGGCGGGAUAUUACCCGGCCCGCAAUGCCCGGGUACGGUCCGGGUCCGGGCCGGGCGGGUAUUUUUACCACCUCUAGUUUGACGCACUCGAAAAUUUGCCAGCUAGACUCAGUAAUAAUAAACAUGUGGAAAUUCUUCCAUUUCACAUUUUUUAUUAUGUACCACAAAUAUAACUAUAUGGAACUAAUGUAACUAUGUGACAGAUAUAAUAAUAAAUGCGAACCAUACUAUACAUAUAAGCUUUCCUUGACAUUAUCCCUAGGGGCUUGACCGAAAACAAAGGCAUACAAAAAUUGGCAGGCCAUAAUUCAUCAGACAUCAAUUCUCAGAAGCAAUUCACAAAGAGAUUGUAACACACGUCUUGUUAUAAUAUCUCUGGUCUCACCAGAUGUAAAUCGUUCAUCAAUUAUAAGACGUAAGUUGAUGCUUAGUGCGAUCAUAAUUAAAUAUCACUAUGCAAUUUGACCAUGGACUGACGUAGAAAUGUUUCAUGUUUCCUUUACUUUAUAUUUCUGCUUUUUCACCCACUAGAGGGUUGUUUCACAAUGCACAAACGUUGAAAUCAAAGCCACCUUAAUUAAUCGAACCAUUAUUGAUCAUUAUAUCCAGUAAAGUUGCAGCUUAGCUCGAUUCGUUAUUGAUUCUGCAUGAGUUAAUUCUCAUUAUACAAUUGUACGUACUAAAUAGUAUCAGAUUGGAUUGAGCACUUACAGAGGAAUCUCUUCGUUGCGGGGCUUUGAUUUUGUAAUAUGCAAUGAAAGCAACAAAUCAAAAGUAACUCCACCAAGUUUGAAAAAGACUUACCAAAAGAAAUGAGCAAUAAUUUCUGGUUUGAUGCAAGUGUUCUUAAUUAUUCAGUAAAUAAUGGAGGAACUUUUGUCGUCUCUCACAAAUUUAUGUUCUAUUGAACAAGUUUCUGCAAGUUAAAAGGAAUUCUAAUUGUUAUUGUCGUUUUUUGGGUUACGUAUUAUUCCCCCCAUUUUGAAGGACCAUUAGAACGAAAAUAAUGUUAAAAGCAAAAAGAGAAUUGAAGAAUAAGAGCAUCUUUUUAUACGAGGCCCGAGCUUGAGGAACUGUUUGAAUUCUUUCAAUGCGGGGCAGGUUUUGCUUAAUUUGUAUACCCAAUUUCUAAAACGGAUCAGCUUUAAAUAAUAUUAAAAAGAAAAAUUUAUCAUUUAUCUUAUCAUCUUUGUAUUUGAUUGUGAGUUUGUAACAAAAACUAAGCUACGAGUAUGCGUAAGGGCUAAGGGCCACCUUUUUAUCCUAUCAAUGUGACCGCAAGAAUUUCUCGGAACCCUUAAAUCAAUGUGGAGAUAUGUGAGAUAUCAAGGAAUUAAGCAUCUUUAAAAGAAAAAAAAAAUAUGGGAAAAUAUCCACCGUCCACCCAUUUUUUAUACCUUUUUCAAAAAUACACAAUUCUUUCAUUUUUUGGCUGGAAUCCACCUAAAGUUACAUUUUUUUCACUUUUCCACUUCCGUUUGGAAUCCGUUAAGAAAACUAACGGAAACUUAAAAAAAUGACCAUUUUACUCCCAAAACGAAAAUUACAAUUUCACCUUAAAAAUUAAAAAAAAUAAUUAGAUUAAAUCUAAUUAUUUUCCCCAUCGGUCAAUAAAUAAAUUAAUUCCACAACCAUCAAAUGCAUGUUUUUUUUUAAAUAUGUCUGUAAUUAGAAUGCUAAAUUAUAACAGUAGUAUUAAAAAUAGCCCAAUCUCACAAAUCAUCAAUUGAAUUUAAGAUAAGUAGAGUUUUAUUAUUAAUUGAGUUAUAAUCUCUAGUAGUUAAGAUUUUUUUGUACUUCAUUAAAGUACCAAUAAUGAUAUUCAUCAUUAAAUCUUAUUAUUUUUGGUAUUUUUUAAGGUGAAAUUGUAAUUUUCGUUUUGGGGGUAAAAUGGUCAUUUUUUUAAGUUUCCGUUAGUUUUCUUAACGGAUUCCAAACGGAAGUGGAAAAGUGAAAAAAAAUGUAACUUUAGGUGGAUUCCAACCAAAAAAUGAAGGAAUUGUGUAUUUUUGAAAAAUGUGUAAAAAACAGGUGGACGGUGGAUAUUUUCCCAAAAAAUAUUUAAGGUAUUAAUUCUUUUGGAUUUUCAGCCACUUGCAAUCUUGCAUUGCCCAAAUCAUUAUCUCAAUUCAAUUUGCCCCUUCGUUAACAGUAAGGUUUCGCACACGAUCCAUGCUCUUGAUGAUUGACCAGCAUACAUAUCUGAUUUCAUGAAAACUUUUUCUGAAUGAUGGAUUCCAUCCUAGGACGCAUCGCUACAUUACCCUUCCCAAUACGUUACACGGUUUUAUCAUUUAAUGAUCACAUUUUAAUCUGUAAUUUCUUCCAAGACAUUUCUUUGCGACUGAUACUACACAAUCCCUAAUUGUAUUCCCAUCAUACAAGGGUCGUCCAUCCUUUAAAGAAGAAGGGGGGAGAAAAUUAUGAAACUUAUUAAGUAAUUAAUUAGUAGAAAAUCUUGGGGAAAAUACUUCAAAAAACAUAAAUUGUGUAUGACAAGAAACAACCAUGCAUGUUUAAUCUUUCGCAAGCAGAGCUCAUGUAUCAACUUUAAACAUAAGGAAAACAAUUUCCUUGCAAAAAUAUGAAUGAAUCUACAAACACCUGAAAAAGUUCCACCAAUCAAUGCAGUUUACAGAUGUUAUGAGACACAUUCAAUCAAUUUCCCUGACUUCCAAACUUCAAUUUAAUGCAAUCACAGUCAUCACCCUCCUAUCCUUACAAUAGGAUAUGAAUUUCCAUUUAUUGUAUAUUUAACUGCAGUGCUAGACUCUAUUGUUUUGGAGAUUGUCUGCAAAAGUAAGACAGAUCAUUCUUGUUAAUUUCCCUGGAUGAUCAGCUUCUUUGGUAAAAUAACUCUCGGGCUCUAGCACUUAUAGCCGCUGAGACUUCAUAUAAGAGAAAACACAUAAUGGUGAAGGUAGACCAAGGAAAAAAAUGCUAAUGGAAUUGAGCAAUAUCAUGAGAACCACAUUGCUUUCCAUAAUAAUGACUAGGGGCAUCAGGCAUGAUCAAAAUAACAGCAUGGCAAAAUCUCACCGCCAUUUAUAAGUCAUCAAUCAGUGUGAAAAUAAGAGACAGGAAGGAAGCAUGCACCUUUAAGAUAAACAAAAAAAAAAAUACAUACAUACAUAUAUAGAUAUAUGCAUAUAUACAUAUAUACAUACAUACUAAGAUAUAUAUACACACUCACUCACGCACAAAAUAGCUCAUUCUCAUCAAAGUUUCAGGAACUAGCAUUAUCAAGAUUAUGCUCUCAAUCUCUAUGCUUAGUCGUAGAUAUAGAACCAUGUAAAAAGCUAGCCCUUCCAAACUAAGUCCAAACAGAUGACAAAAAGUGAACAUCGCACUGCCAACUGGCAAGAAACUUGGUCUUCCCUCUUAUCUUAAAAAAUACAAUGUUGCCACGUAACCCAAAAAAGAGCUAGAACACUGCAGUGCCAGAGAACUUUAGCUUUCUAUCCUUGCCCAAAAGCAAAAACAUUUUCCAUUAGCAAAGAGCUACAAGAACUCGGAGCAUCCCAAAAUCAAUAACAUGAUUGAGAAUCAAUGCAUGUAUCCACAAACAUUUAUUUAGUAGACAACUGAUUCCCAAACCAAUUUUAAAUUUCUGACAGACUUAAUUCGUUGCCCAAAUUCUACCAAGCUUUUCAGUUAAUCUGCUCAAAAUACAAUCCACGGGUGCAUUUAAAUAAAUUGGGUUAUUUAAUACCUAUAAUCUUUAAAACCUCAUCAAAUUGCUAUCAAAAGUAAUCUAUACCAAACAAUCAACACAUGAGAUACAGGGCCUUUAGACAGAGAAAACACUGCUGAAGAAAAAAAUAAAAACCCAUAGAAGCACUAAAUACUUCUCCUAAUGUUAAUAAUGGAACAAAACAAUAUCAUAGAACACUCAAAUAUACUAUUAGAGGAAUAAAUCCAUACCAAUGAUAAGCUAAAUAUGAAAUUUUUCUAGAAUUAAUAAUUCUUCAAACAAAAAAGCACAGUAAUUAUCUGCAUUUUAAAUAAUCCAAAAAAAAGGGCAAUGACUUAUUUAUUUCAUAAAAUAAAAAAAAAGCUACAAACACUUGUUUUUUAAUCUAUUUUAUUUCCAGGCAAGAACGACAUUCUUCUAUUCUUUCUUCAACAAGAAAACAGGUUAUGUUACAGUCACUAGGCAGUAGGCAAAACACUCGAUAACCAAAUACAUAAAAGGAAAUAAAAAAGAGUUACAAAAUCACAAAAGUUAAAAUUGAAAAUACAAAAAGAUUAAAAAAGAAACUGCUUUUGAAAAAUGAAAAUAUCAAACCCCUUCUUCAGAACAAUUCAAACAGGGGGCUGCGGGUUCUUAAUCUAACAGUAAUUAAAAUUCCACUGAAACCCCAACCCUCUAUUUGAUUUUCCAUUUUUUUCCCCCACAAGAAUUAUUUUCAACAUAGAACUUGAGCUUUGGAAGUGACAAAAAGAAAAGACAUAGAUGAGUGACUGAGUCUGACUGAGAUAGAGUCGUCAAUAUACCACACUGGUCAGCUCUCAGUUGAAUUUGUGAGUUUGGGUUGGAGUCCCAGUCCCACAGCCCACAGGUAGUGAAAGUAGGUAAUUAUCCUAACCAGCUAAUGUAUCAAAACCUGUUUGUAUAAGCCUGCACAUUACAAGUUACUCAUAAGCAAAGGAGGGGGCUGCAACGAGAAACAGCACAUCAUGUCCUAAUUAUAAAACAUGUAAAAAUUAACAUAUUUUACCAGUCACAAAACCCUUUUUCUUUAGAGAUAAACUCCCCAUAGCAACUAUAAAUAUGGGAAAAAAAAAAUGACCACAAGGUAGAACAGUCCCUUCUUUUUCUCCAAACAAAUACAACCAUUUCAGUUCACACCUAAGCUGAGAACCAUUCUAGUUCCAAUUUUCAACCAAUGAAACAACCGUAGUAUUCUCAUAAAAAUAAAAGAAUGAAAUAACCAUAGAAUAAAAUAAUUAUACUCUAAUUCAAAUAUUGCUUCAGAAUUUAUGAUUUAUGAUAGACCCAACUGGUCAAACCUACAGAAUUGGAUUAGGCAUUUAUUUGACCCAAAAGGUGAAUAUCAAGCUUAUGGUUCUUACAACACUGAAAUGAUCAAAUUUCAUUCAUUCUGAACAUGAGAUGCAAAGAAUUAUUUCAAGUUAUUCGAAGAGUAAGCAUUAAAAGAAAUUUGUUCAUCCUACGUGGUAUAAGUAGUAUACUUAAGCUAGUAUUAGUGUAUUAUGCAUCAUCGGUUAAAUCAUUUGGAUUAUUAACAUUGAUUUAUAUUUUUUUUAUUAGCUGAAUUGAUAACUGUCGCAUCCCUAACUUAGAUGCACGUGUGAUAAGAAAAUUUUAUCUACAUCAGAUGCAAGUACAAGCUUUUAACAAUUAAGCCGUGACUGUUGGCUUACAAGAACGAACAUAUACUAAUAGAAUGAAUAAGACCCAGCACUUACAGAAAAAUUUGACAUUAUCUGCCCUAAAAUGUAAGAAUCCCAAAUUUAACACAAUCCUAAACUUGCUGCAAGUUACAGCAGCAGCAAGGAAACAAUUAAGAAAACUAGGUGGAAAAAAAAAUUAAUAAAAGUAAGAAGAUUCCAAAAUUGAACCACUCAUGCACAGAAACUUACCCAAACCAAUUCUAAAGAGUAAGAGUUAUGAGAAAAUCCAGCGAAAUCCACGUUGAUUUCCCAUAAAUUUCAUACUUGCUGUUGUUCUCAGCUCCCUUAAGUGCACAAUUAUUCUCUGUAAAAAUCAAUUGCUUUCUUUCCCUCCAUUUCUUUUUCUUCCUCUUCUCUCUUCUUUUGUUUUUUUCCUCGUUCUGUCUCUGUUGUAUUUUUUACCGCUUAUUAUUAUUAUUAUUAUCGUCAUCACCCGAACGUUGGUUUUGUUUGUUAUAGAACUUCACAAAAGAAUAGAGAGACCUUAUAAGUUGGUUGUGGGCUGGGCUUAGCUACAGAUUUUCUUCUCAAAAACACACACACGCGCGCGAGAGGAAGGUGGUGUUUAUUUUUUUAUCUGAAAUCUGAAUAGAUCUGAAUUAGUCUGAAUUCUGAAUAAAUUAUCUGAAUCUGAAUAAUAUAUUUAUUUUUUCGUCUGAAUCUCAAAAAAUAAGUAUUAAGUUGUUUGUUUUUUUCAACUUAAAAAGCUAAAAAUAUAUACUUUUACAUUUGUAUCCUUAUUAAAUUUGAAUGUCAAAUAAAUAAUAUAUUAAAUACCACAAUAUUUUAACAUUUAUAAGUAAAACUAUAUUCAAGUGAAUAAAUAAUUAUUUUAGAAUUUUAAUAUAUAAAAUACCAUAAAAUUUAAAUUUUAUUGUAUAUAAUAUAAGAAAGAAAAAUAUGGAUAUUUUUAUGUGGGAUAAAUGUCUAUGGGUGAGUUUGGGAUAGACAUGAAAAAUAAAUUAUAAAGUAAGGAUAUUUUUGACAUUAGCAAGUAAUUGACUUAAUUCAGAUUUCUCCAUUAAGUAAAAAGCCAAAAAAAUUGGCUUAUUUUAUUAAGUCAAAAUUAUCUAAAAAGUCUCAUUAAGUUAUAAAAACAAACACCUCUAAUUAACUUAAUUAAUUAAGUUAAGUCACUUUAAAUCAUUAAAUUAAAAAAUAAACGUCACCGAAGUGAACUUAGAAUUACUUCCACUUCUUCAAAUUCUUAGUUAUAAAUAAGGCAUGAGUGAGUUUUGAUAUAUUUAAUGAGAUGUAUAUUUCUAGAUAGUUGCGGUUCAUCAACGACCGCAUUCACAAACUGCAGCAGCAAUACGUGAUCAAAAUUCCAAAUAUAAAGCCCUCCUAAAGAAUUCACCACCUAUUUGGCUAGAAAUUCUCCAUUACUCAUUGUCACAGUCUCUAUUUUCACCCCUUUCAUCAAAACACAAGCGUUAUUUACCCAUGUUUAGAAAAAAUAAAUAAAUAAAUAAAUAAAAAUUAACUGACUUCAGCAUAUAAAUUACAGCAAGCGGUCAAUUCACAAAAACAAGGAAAAUUAACUCAAUCAAAGUGAAGUAGGUCACAAAAUGACCUCAAUGAAAUAUCAGAGACCUCUAAAAUGGAAUCCAAUUCAGUUAAACAAAUAAUCACUCAUCAAUGAUGAGCAGAAGGAAAAAAGAAAAAAAAAUUCUUAUAAAAAUUCAACAAAAAAAAAGGCUAAUCUUCCUUUUUGGUUAAGUGAUUUCGUCAGCAAACAUGGCAAAAAUAGAAAUUCCAAAAUAUACCUAGGGUUUCUAGCUUUGGAAAUUUACCUUACAAGUGGGCUUGCUUUUAUUUCAUAAAAGAGUGAGACUAUUGUCACCUCUCUACAAUCCUUAUAAAACCCCUUUCCUAUUACAACGAAAUUAAAGGAUCUCUAAUUAAUCCCCGACAUUUUCCCUCUUUACAAGUUUCUCUCUGAACUCUUUACACCACACAACCACCUAUUAUUUUCUUUUUCCUCAUAAGCAAUUUACACCAUAAUCAAUGUGAUUCCACUAACAAAAUCUCAUUCUUAUCAAUUUCCGUUUAUAAGCUUAAUCAAUAAACCUUUUUUUUUCUAUUUAUUUCCUAGCAUAUCAACCUUUUUUAUGUGAAAAAAAUUAAAGCUUUUUCAUUGGGGUCCACUUUUAACCUCUAAUUGAUUUGAUUCAAAUAUGUACAAGAUUUUUUAUUUUCUAUAUGUAUGUAUGUAUGUAUAUGUGUGUGUGUGUGUGUGUGUGUGUAUUUACCUCACAAGAAACGGGGCUGUCUGUUUCUAGCUUUGUAAAGUUACUAUUAUGGACGAGCCACUCCGAUAAGCUGAGAUGAUCAGAUUUCGCACCAGCAACAAUGAAAUUGUUUGGGUUUGGGUUUGACGAUAGACGGGGGAAUGUUUAGGGUUUUGGGUGAUUUUUUGGAAUUUUUUAUUGAAGUGAAAAUAUCAAAAUAACCUUUACACAUUAAAUAUUCAGGGUACUUAAACAGUUAAAUUUUUCUUUAGAAUAAAAACAGAAUAUAAAUUGAGACUCAGAAUUUUAUUUUAUUUUAUUUUAUUUUUUGAGAGAAAGUAAUACUUUUGAUUCAAUGGACUUUUGAUCCAAUAGAAGAAGCUUUGCACUUAUAAUAUUAAGUGUAAGAGUUCGAACCUCCAUAAGAGCAUUAUGAAUGUUAGUUUCAGUUCUUCCUUAAUUAUUAACUAAUUGAGUGGAAACAGUCUCUCUCUUAUAAAAUAUGAGUGGAAUAGGCACUUCUCGAAUAUUAGAGAGGAACAAUUUGUGUAUAUUAUAAUUCAAAAAAUUUCAUGAGUAGAAUAGACACCCCUCGAAUAUUAGAGAGAAACAAUCUCUAUAGUAUACAUGUAAUGCAUGAUGUCCAUCAUGUAAUUUUUUAUAAUUAUUAUGUUUAAAUCAUGUGUUGUAAUAUCUUAAUUAGUGUAAAAAUAAUGACAAUAUAAAACUUUUUUAAUUAAUGCUGAUACUCAAAUUUUAUUAUCGUGUAAUUUUUUAUAAUUAUUUUGUUUAAACUAUUUGUGGAAUGGUUGUGUAUGUAUUAGUUAAACAAUUACUUUUUAUUCAUAAAUAUGACUUAAAUAUUUAAUAAAAACUAUUUUUGAAAAUGAUAUUACCGAACACAUAUUCACUGUUUUUAUCCUCUCAAAUGUGUCUACCAAACGCAUAUUACUGUUUUCAGUUUUAAAAUACAAGAUACAGAAAAUGAUACCAGAUGCAUAUUUAAAUUUGAAAUACAGCAAUUGCAAAACACUAUUUUCAUUCUCAUUUUUAUUUUCAGAAAAUACAAAUUCAAAAACAAUACCAAACGGACCCUUAAAGGAUCUCUAAUUAAUCCCCGACAUUUUCCCUCUUUACAAGUUUCUCUUUGAACUCUUUACACCACACAACCACCUAUUAUUUUCUUUUUCCUCAUAAGCAAUUUACACCAUAAUCAAUGUGAUUCCACUAACAAAAUCUCAUUCUUAUCAAUUUCCGUUUAUAAGCUUAAUCAAUAAACCUUUUUUUUUCUAUUUAUUUCCUAGCAUAUCAACCUUUUUUAUGUGAAAAAAAUUAAAGCUUUUUCAUUGGGGUCCACUUUUAACCUCUAAUUGAUUUAAUUCAAAUAUGUACAAGAUUUUUUAUUUUCUAUAUGUAUGUAUGUAUGUAUAUGUGUGUGUGUGUGUGUGUGUAUCUGUAUAUGUGUGUGUAUUUACUUACAAGAAACCGGGCUCUCUGUUUCUAGCUUUGUAACGUUACUAUUAUGGACGAGCCACUCCGAUAAGCUGAGAUUAUCAGAUUUCGCAGCGGCAACAAUGAAAUUGUUUGGGUUUGGGUUUGAUGAUAGACGGAGGAAUGUUUAGGGUUUUGGGUGAUUUUUUGGAAUUUUUUAUUGAAGUGAAAAUAUCAAAAUAACCUUUACACAUUUAAUAUUCAGAGUACUUAAACAGUUAAAUUUUUCUUUAGAAUUAAAACAGAAUAUAAAUUGAGACUCAGAAUUUUAUUAAUAUACCGCUGUUCGUUUGGACCAUAAUACAAAAACCAAAAUAAAUAAGAAUAUAGAGGGUGUGUGCUACCGCUGAAAAUGCUUUUCAAACAAAAGCGGAAAACAGCAACUAAGCUUUCACAGACUAUAUAUGUAUAGAUCAUUGUAAUAACUAACUAGAAAAUGGAAAGUUAGCAUAUAUUCAUAAAACACUCGUAGUUCUACCCUAUGUUAUUUUAUUAGGCACUAGGACCCUACAGUGGCACCAGCAAAAUCAUACACGCAUAUAUAUAUUCUCAUCAUCAUCAUCAUCACUAGAACUUGGCUGCAGGGUUUGGAUGUGGAUCCCUUCUACUUCAAUAAUGUUCUCUUCAUCAACUUGUUCUGGAAUUUCUUGAUCCCCGUUCACGCGGUAGAUCAUGAUCAAGAUUGUGCGAGUAAUGGAUGUUAUUACAGUGAGAUUUCGAAGCCAGUUGAAGCAGCGCUUAAACAGAGAAGCUAGCGUUGCAUAACAGAGUGAUAAGAUUAUGAGGCACAAAUAGGCUACCAAGAACAGAGACGGAGCCAAAAUGACAGAGGCCACUACUGAGACAGCCAACAGAACUGAGAGUUCUCCACAACUCACGGAAAUGGGGCGGCUCACACUGAGAGGAAUUCUGAUGGGUGUGAGGAGGAAGAUCAGUAAUGGGAUGACGACGGCAGGGAUCAGGAACCAGAACUGGAGCUUUAAAAUUGGAUACAAAAGUAUCUUACUUGUACCAUCUUGGAUGUCCCAAGAGUUCCCAUCUUGAGACCUGAGGAACAUAAAGAAGAUUAUAAAAUUUAGCAAUGGUAGAAAUAAAAACCUCAAAUCAAUUGAAAAAUUCAUGCUUGUGAGUAUAAGAUUUGGCAGGUAUGACUGGGUUUAAUUAGUACGAAUAAGAUUUGGCAAUGGCAGAGUUGAAAAAAAUGAAAGAAAGAGAAAGAAGAAGAGGGACUAGGGAGAAUCUAAGAAUUAGAUUGAUUUUUUAAAAUGCGGCGAGUCUGAGGCUUUUAUAAAGGUUGAGGAAGAAAAGUUUCUGAGUCUGUACGCACCACCAAUAAUAUCGUUGCAUGAUUUUGUAUCGCCAUUUUUUGCAAAAUGGUUCGAUACUUGUUUUUCUUUUAUUCCGUACAUUUUUAGCUCUUUAAAAGGUAUUUUCAAAAAGUGUGCACAAAAUAUGUCUGAGUGAAUGAUACAUGUUCCACUAAAUAGAUGCAUGUAACAAAUUAGAGCCAUUCAUGACAUACAAACAAAACUAGUGUCGGAAAGAAAUAUACCAAGGCCAAACUACAAUUACGUGUAAUUAAGCUACCUUUUUUUUUUCAUGUUAGUGUGACCAAAAUGAGAUUUUGUACAACAAAUAUAACUAUAUGGAACUAAAUAAUGUAAUUAUAAAUGCCAGCCAUAUUAUAUGUAUAAGCUUUCCGUGCCAAUAUCACUAGUGGCAUGACCAAAAACACCUACAUACACAAUAAUCUCUCAGAGGAGAGAUUGUCAAUUUUCCUCACUCUAAACCCAGAUUAAAGUAAAUUACAGAUUUUGUAGCUUAAUAAGACCCGGUUAAUACACACACAUAAAUAUUUUAUGCUUACAGCACAAUCAAUUUUUGGGCUUUCUCUUACACAAAAAUUAAAUACUAUCCAACCCAAGUGACUUAACAACAAAGUCAUACACAAAAUAGAAUCCUGAUUCAGAAUUUAUAGUUUUUGACGAGUCACAAUUUGUCUUGACUUUGUGAGCCGGGAUUACCUCUGAUGUAAUAUUAUUGAAUAUAAAUAUAAAAGAUGCUUUCAAUUUUCUAGUGGCUAGGCCACGAUAUUCUGGAGUUUGUGCAUGAAGGUUGAGGUCACCUCUUAGCUUUUAUGUUAGUGUGUUACGUGCAUUUUGUGAUCGAAUUCGUCUUGACUUUGUGGUCCAACUCACACACUUGGGCAUUUUGUGUCGGCCAUUUCUGGAUGAUGGAUUUGAAUUUGAACCUACAAGGCAUCAGCACUUGUCCCUAAAGCCAAAGGGUGGAAAAGGAAAAAUAUUCAGAAAGUAUGUAUGAGUGAAUGAAGAGCUUUUGAUUUAAAGUGCGCACAUCUCGUAUUUUAAGUCCUUUUUGUCAAGUUAACUUUGGUUUCUUAAGAGAUUUAAUUUGGCUAUUGACUAGACAUUACUUUCCAAUUUCUUCUUAAAAAACGUUGGUCUCUUAAGAGAUUAAAAAAUGAAAAUUAAAUUAUGGACGGAUAAUAUAGGAGGCUUCUUGGCUCGUUCCCAAAAAUAAAGGGAAUGUUGUGCUUGGUUCGAGAAACACGCUUCUAUCUGAAAUAAGAGAUACAAAAGAGUAGUCUAAACUCUAAAGCAUCCAAUCAUGCACCACUUAUUCUAACACUGAACAGUAAAAUGAUUUGACGUGGAGUCUUCGAAGGCAACAGUUUUUUCAAUUUUAUAAUUAGGCAAAUACUAUGUUACAAUUAAUGUAACAUACACAUUCAACAACAACCACACAAAUUAUAUGGGUCUAUUAUUUAUAUGGUUGUUGUUAAGUGUGUAUGUUAUAUUAAUUGUAAUAUAGGGACUCCCAAAAAAUAAUUUUGAUACAAAAGCAGGCUGCUUUUAUUCCAAUUACGUGAAUGGAUUUUGUCCUUCAAGAAAGUUAAUCAAGAAAAAAUAAUAUUCUAGUUGCAACAGUGGGGCCACCUUCAGACGUUACCAUUUCACACAAACUUGUGCAAGUCAGUGCUUUCACUUUUGAAGACACUAACUGGUACUGCCGGUUCAACAUUGGCUACACGUACAUAAGCAAGUGAGUCCAAAAGUUCUUACCCAUCAGUCAUUGCAAAUGCAAGAUGAUCAAUAGCAAAAAUGUGCGAGUUUUACACACUUUAGUAAACCAAAAGAAGAGGAAAUUUGGAUAAUGAGGAGCACUCGUAGGUAGACAAGAAAGAUAGCUUAUGAAGCACCAGUUCUUCAGAUAAGCUUCAGAAUGUCUCAACUCAGGGUAUGAACUGAAAUUGUUUACCUACAGUUGUUUAAAAAGACGGACACUGAUAUAUCAUCAAGAGAAAUAUAUCAACUAUACAUAUAUAAUUGCAAUACAGGCGCAUCCGAUUAUCAACAAAAUCACAUUGUUUGCUGAGUACACAUGUAAUAUACUCACUCAAAACACCCAGUACACACUGCACUCAACUAAUGCCCCUUUUAAGAGUAAUGAAGGGGGUUGAACUUAGAUGCGGAGGAGUCGAAGUGAAUAGCUUGUUUUCAAUUGGAUUCAAUGGCAUUGGGCUGGCAAAGACAGUAGGUUCCUGCAUAAAAGAACAAUGCAAGUUAGUGAAAAAAAUCAGUUUAAAAAUUUGAAUUUACCAAGUAAAAGCAGCAUACACUUCAACCUGCACGUCAGUGCUUUUACUAGAAGGGUUGUAAUUCUCCUUUGAAGCCAAUGCCAUUACAGGUUCCACCAUGGGGACACUGCUAUACAUCAACUCUUCAGCAUCACUACACCACGAUUUGUCGCCUAAUGCAUUGUAAUUAUGAGUUUAGUUUGUUACAUUUCAACUGAAACACUAUUCCAAAUUAUCCUUUCAUGCGCGUUUAUAUUUGUUCAGUGAUCANNNNNNNNNNNNNNNNNNNNNNNNNNNNNNNNNNNNNNNNNNNNNNNNNNNNNNNNNNNNNNNNNNNNNNNNNNNNNNNNNNNNNNNNNNNNNNNNNNNNCCAUUACAGGUCCCACCAUGGGGACACUGCUAACAGUCUUCAAUUGACAGCAAGAGGAUCAAAGUUUUCAGCAAUCCUUUUUGCUGGUACUGGUGUUCUCAUGUGCUGAGAAAGCUCCCUGUUGUUUCCACAAAGAGUAAAUAUGUUCUGAAUUCUUAACCUUCUGGAGGACUCUGUGUCUUCAGGUUUCUGAGGGGAAGAUGCCAAUAAGCCUGUAGUAAGAUUGAGACUGGGAAUAUUUCCAUCAGCUACACUUGAACAGACCCUUUUCUCCUCUAU
This 52657-nucleotide long non-coding RNA is filed under the name Citrus x clementina. RNAcentral's name for it is "Citrus clementina (C. clementina) long non-coding RNA (CCLE_LNC000171)". The record is from RNAcentral. Lineage: Eukaryota; Viridiplantae; Streptophyta; Magnoliopsida; Sapindales; Rutaceae.